RNAcentral lists this long non-coding RNA (49416 nucleotides) under Linum usitatissimum (flax). Its description in RNAcentral is "long non-coding RNA (LUSI_LNC007256)". Lineage: Eukaryota; Viridiplantae; Streptophyta; Magnoliopsida; Malpighiales; Linaceae. The record is from RNAcentral.
AAAAAAAAACUCUAAAAAUGCACUCGACAUUCAGAUAUGGUUAGACUAGAAUGACAUGUUUCGGGCUGCGAUUCGUCCCUCAGCCUAUACAGUAGCCCUUAACAAGAUAAUAGAUGAUUGAGUUGGCCUUUUUACGCAAAGCCCAUACAGCGCCCGUAACAAAAUUCCAGGGCCCAUACAUCAAGACCGCUCAUCUUCGGUUCAUAACUAUGGACGGCCCAGAUACGGUUUAUCAUCGUCCGCCUAGAUUCACGUUCUCACAGCCACACGUGAUAAUUCCCCAUGGCACGAAAUUUGAAUUUCAAAUCGGAUCCAUCCAUUUAUUAAUUAUUAAACCGAAAACAAAAUUAAAUAGCGCCUUUUUAUUUUUAAACGGUCCUAUUUUCGGCCUUAAACGGCUCUCUUGUUACACACACUCUCUCUCUGCCUCCCUCUGCCUCCGCUCAAUUUUUCAAAAUCCUCAUUUCUCGCUUCUCCCCCCUUCGCACAAAAUCUUCCAUCUGCUUUCAAUCUUUCAUCAUCUCUUGGAGCGAUACUUCUCGGGAAUUUUCUGGAUUUCGAAGCACUUCCUCCAUCGUCCUCCUUCGACGUUCAACCUGCUGCGGAGCACUUUCUUUUUUCCCGCUGUGAUUUGUUUCCAGGUAGGUUAGAUGAUGAACUUCCUAUUUUUCCUGAUUUUUCUGUUGUUUUUGAUGUUUUCCUUGUGUUCUAAUGAUUUCCGUGUCUCUAGCAAGCAAUUAGGAGGAAAUUUGUGUCAUGUAGGGUUAGAACAGAGGAAAAGAGCAAAUUAUGAGUCUGCUAAUAUCAGGAUUCUCUCCAAUUUCUCGAUGUUUCAUCGAAUAUUUGGUGGUUGGAACUAAUUUAGAAGUAAAUCUACGUUAAUUUGUUGAACUUUCUCUAGUUUCGUCGUUGUCUAGCUGAUGAAUGUCAGAAAUUCCGAGCAAAUAUGCAGCAUGUAGGGUUGAAACAGAAGAAAAGAGCGAACUCUGAGUUUUGUAAUGUUAGGUUUCCGUCCGAUUUCUCAAUGUUUUAUGGAAUAUUUGGCUGGAACUUGGAACUAAGCAAAUGUAGCUUAAUUGAUUGUCGAUUCUUUAGCUAGGGCAACAAGUAAUUUAGUUCUGGGUUUUGGGGCCUUCUUUAGCCAAUCAGACAUCUUGAAAAUGGAAGUUGGGCAGUAAAUUUGAGGAAGAAUUAACAGGAGGUGGUAGGAAAUUUUAGUUUUACAGGCAAAGGCGUUAUUAUCCUAGAACAAUGUGAUGCCGAGUCUCAAUUGAUCGGCGAGUCUUGAUUGUAUAUUUUGCUUGGUAUCUUAUGAUAUACACUUUGUUUCUGGGGCAGGUUAUUGAUUGGAGUUAUAGGUCCCCAACAACAUGUCUCCUGUACAAAAAGAUCCAUCGGUUCAGGCUGAGACAACUUGUGGUACUCUUUUAUCAGAGUUGCAGGUAUGUUAGUUGAAUCCGUGUCCUUCAGUUUGUUUUGAGUAUGAUGGUUACUCUGGGUAUUUAUUCUCUUACACAUUGGUGCUGGCAAUCAGAUAAUCUGGAAUGAAGUUGGUGAGUCUGAUACUGAUAAGGAUAAGAUGUUGUUUGAACUCGAGCAAGAGUGUCUGGAAGUGUACAGAAGAAAGGUGGACCAGGCAAACCGUAAUAGGGCGCAUCUAAGGCAGGCGAUUGCUGAUUCUGAAGCUCAGCUUGCAGCAAUCUGUUCUGCCAUGGGCGAACGACCAGUACACAUUAGGCAGGCUGAUCAAACCAGUGAAAGUUUAAAGGCAGAACUUCAAAAGAUUCUUCCACAACUUGAGGAAAUGCAAAAGCGUAAAGUGGACAGAAGAAAUCAGUUCGUUCAAGUUCUUGAAGAGAUCAGGAAAAUUUCAUAUGAGAUAAAUGAAACAGCUGAUGAUGGUUUUGUUAACGAGAGUGAUCUUUCCUUGCGGAAGCUGGAAGAGUUGCACAAGAAACUCCAAGUACUUCAAACUGAAAAGGUCAGAAGAGUAGCUUCUGUGCAUCUGCAACUCUCAUAUUUAAUGUCUGGUCACUGAAAUACCUUUUUCUUUCCUUUGCAGAAUGAUCGCUUGAAACAGGUCAAAGAGUAUUUAGAUACAGUCAACUCCCUAUGUCUGGUACUUGGUAUGGAUUCGAUGCAGACGAUUGCUGAAAUUCAUCCAGAAGCGAGUAAUACUGAUGUAUCAAAGAGAAUCAGUAAUGACGCCAUCAAAAUUUUAGCUACUGCUAUUCACAGAUUGCGAGAGGUCAAACUACAAAGAAUGCAGAAGGUAAUGUAUGGAGGUUGGUGUUGUAUAAUUACAACAAAACAAUAAACAGUGUUAGCUAAUUUGUAUCAAUAUCUUGUGGCAGCUUCAAGAUCUUGCAACUGCAUUGCUGGAGCUGUGGAACUUGAUGGACACCCCUAUAGAGGAGCAGCAAAGAUUCCAGAAUGUUACAUGCAAUAUAGCUGCAGCAGAACAUGAGAUAACUGAACCAAACACACUCUCCUUGGACUUCGUAAACUUUGUGAGUUUUGAGUUUUACUUGUUUGUUGUUUCUUUUCCUUCUCUGUAUUUGUUUGAUGUUAUGUGUAGAUAAUCAAAAUCAUACAUGUAGGUUGGAGCAGAAGUCUCUCGGCUGGAGGAGUUGAAAAUUAGCAGGAUGAGAGAGCUAGUUCUGAAAAAGAGGUCAGAGCUGGAAGAAGUCUGUCGGAAGACACAUAUGAUCCCAGAAGCAAAUACAGCGUUAGAUUGUGCCAUCGAAGCCAUAGAGUCCGGUAACUGGCUUGCUUUCCUUCGCCAUUGGGAUGCCAAAUACAUAAUUGGUUUCCUAAUGCUUACUGACUGUUUGUUACGCAUCUUAAUACAGGACAAAUAGACCCUGGAAGUAUCCUGGAGCAGAUUGAGUUUCAAGUUGCCAACGUGAAGGAAGAAGCAUAUAGCAGGAAGGAAAUACUUGACAAGGUUGAGAAAUGGAGAGCUGCAUGUGAGGAGGAAUCUUGGCUUGAGGAGUAUAAUAGGGUAAAGUGUAGUUUCCUCCUUUGUCCUUCCAUCCAGAUCUUUUCUUCUAUUUUCUUGCUUAUUUAACUUUCUAUUAUACAGGAUGAUAAUAGAUACAAUGCUGGAAGAGGUACUCAUUUGAUUCUCAAGCGGGCUGAGAAAGCUCGUGCUUUAGUCACCAAAAUUCCAGGUGAACACCUUUGUUGAGAUACCUAUUGACAGCAAAAUGUGGCACAACUUGUGCCGUCAUCAUGAUGUUCUUGCUAUGAAUUGAAUAUUCUGACUUUUUGUUGUUGUUUUAUCAAGGCAUGGUGGAGGCUUUGGCUUCAAAAACAAUGGCAUGGGAAAAGGAGAGGGGCAUAGAGUUCCUAUACGACGGUGUAAGUCCCCUGUGUUCCUUUUGUUCUAUAUAUUAGCAAUCACCAUAGAUCUCCGUUGAUUCUUUCAGUUUCUUGUUGGCCUUAAUGUUGAUCCUCUAUGGUUUCAGAUUCGGCUACUUUCCAUGCUUGAAGAGAAUACCAUACUACGGCAAGAGAAAGAGGAAGAAAAGAGAAGGCAGCGGGUAUGAAUCUUUUUCCAAACUUGUCUGGCUAAAGCUUUGUCUUCAUGAAUAGGCUCUGAUCUGAUGACUUUUUAUAAUUUGAUCAUAAUUUUCUCCUUUUAGGAUCAAAAGAAGCUACAAGGACAGCUGAUAGCAGAACAAGAGGCACUUUACGGGUCAAAACCAAGCCCUUCUAAGAAUAUAAGUAUGAAAAAGGGAUCUAGAGUUUCAAUGGGAGGUGCGGGUGCAGCAAGCAGUAGAAGACUCUCGGUCGGAGGAGCUGUGCCGCAAACUCCAAAACUCGACAAGACGCUCUCUAGCCAAACACUGAACUACCGAUCUGCCAAGAAAAUCAACCACAAUGACACCCUAAGUCAGUAUCAGGAUGAUACAUUCUCUACCUAUUCAGCUGGUUAGUACCUUAGGCAAUGCAAAGUAGUUCUCAUUUGGCCUCUCAGAUGAUUUUAUUUCUAAACAAUUUUUUUUCAUUUCACUGCUUUCUCUUGCUGAAGAUGAUAUUAGUGAAUCCGACUACUACUAAUGGCUCACCAAUCUUCAUCGGGUUUCUGCGGAAAAAAACUUCAUCUGGGUUCUUCAUUCACAAUUUUCUCGUUUGUUGAAGUAGGUCCUCUCUUUAAAAAAUUUUGAAACUUUUUACUCCUAGAAAACGGUAAGAGUCUAGAUGCAUAUCUUUCAGGUUACUUGCGAUGCAAGCAAGAUAUACUGAUUUUCCUUCAUAUCAACUGAAUUUGCAGGUAGGAGAGGCUUGGGCUUGGAUGUAACUGGUUUCCCAGUUAAAGCUCAAUCCUUUGGUGCUGCAAAUAGCCGUGAUCCCGAUCCUGCAAUGCUGCGUAAGCCGUUUUCUCCAAUAUCUUCUUCCACGGCAUCAUCAAAAACCAAUGUGUUAGAAGACAAUGCUGCAUUGAAGAAGGCAGUAAUCCCACCAUUAAAAGACCAGUCUUUCACCACACCAGCAAAGACUACUGCUGCUAUUUCCUCCAUGGCUGAUGAAGAAAACAGAACUCCAAAGGUGCUGCCGAUGAUAAUGCCUGCAAUUACACUCUCCACACCUUCCAUCCCAAUGCAGACCGCCAUGACUCCAGCAGUUUUAGUAGCUCCUUCAGCUCGAAUUCCUUUCGGUGGUGGUAAGUCGUUCGAAGAGACGGUUCCUGAAGAAAUCGAGUACUCAUUUGAAGAACGAAGAGCUGGAUUUGUGGUGCUUCCGCAGAUAGCACACGUAAAGAAGGCGCUGAUACAAGUUUAGAUAUGGCAUCAGCAUUAGUUUCUCUUUUAGAUGGCAGUUGUAGGUGAACUUUUUUCAAGGAAGUGCCCUCUAACUUCCAACCCAUGGUUUCAAGUAAGCUUUGUAAUUGCUUUGUGGUGAUUGUAUAUCGAGUCUACGAGAUAUGUAGACGAAAGACGAAAAUUGUUUGAAUUGUGAGAUAUAUUUGAAUUCUGGUAGUUGAAUCUGUUGUUUACAGAUUCUUCUUCUUUCUGAUAACCAAACAGAACCGAGCUACAAGAUUCAUACAAUAUGUCCAAAUCGUCGACAAAACAGAACAAAAACUGAAGGAAACCCUAUUCAGUUACAUACUCUAGGUGCGUCCUCUGUCACAAAAUUUAACAACCGGUUUCGUACCAGAAGACCCUUUGAGGAAGUAGUUGAGUACCGGGAAAGGUACAUCAUUGCAGAGCCACCGCCAGGCCUAAUGGGCAGCCGACGAUCAAGGACUUCAAUCUCGUAAAUGGAGAGGGUUGAUCUUCAAGACAGCCAGAGAUAUCUAUCUCUAAGCAUCCGGACUGUACCUGAAACCCAACACAAGAGAUGUUGCAUUACUCACCCCGUGGAACAAGGGAAUCAAGUGUUCCUUUCUAUACUCAUUCUCAUCCUCGUACUCGCAAUCGUCCUCAUCCGCAAACUCAUACUUGUACUCAUCAUCAACCCAAAUGUCAGCAUGAUCGAGGGAAGGAAGGGUCGGCUCCGAGAAUUCCACGAUGCGACGACUGGGACACUCGAGAUCCAAGUACUUGAGUUUCGGUGCGUGUAUUUCCAUCCCGAGGAAACCAUCGUAUGAGAGACUGGGACUAAGCAGCUGGAGGCCGGAAAUCCUGAGUCUGGGAUCACCUUUACUACAGCCAAUGAUGUAGAAACUUGACAAGGAAAAAUCUUUCAGGCAUGGGAGGUUAGCAAAAGGGUCGAUUAAAACUUCUCCCUCACAAGCAACGAACACACACCUUACCAAGUCUAAUUUCUGCAGCACCAUGAAACCCGAAGAUCGAAAUCUAUUACCGAAGCUAAAAGAUCUUAGUUCUAGAGCUUUCAGACUGUAAUUUUCAGAACUGAAUCCAAGCAAAUCAGUAGAUGGGAACUCCGAUGGAGUUCUACACACAUUCGAAUCUAAUCGAAUCCCUAAAUACUGAGUUUCAUAGGACAAUGCGUAUCUGAUAACCCUCGCCAACAAGCUAUUUUCUCCUAACUCAUCGUCCGUCAAUGGUUUCUCUAACUUGUCACUGAAAAUGACCUUGCUUUCAAUGGAUAGCGGAGCGACAUCUCCUUUUCUACGUACCUUUUGAAACUGGGGGGAGAGGAGCUGGGAUGCAAUUGAAAAUGUGUUGAAUGCAGCGAAGAACAGACGGAGUUAAAAGAAAGAUCGUUUCGAGAUAAUUGAAACGACGAGUUUCAUUUUCCGUCUAUUUUCUCUGUUGAUGUAUGAACUAAUGACACGUGUUUUAUCCGCGUUUAUAUUUUCAUUUUUACUGUUCUUGUUAUUGUUGAGGUUGGUAUAAAACCCAACCAGCUGAAUAAAUCGAUUAUCACUUUCAGAGCCUUAAACAUUUUUCUCUGCUUCUUCCUUCUUUUCUGGAAAUCGAUCGUUUCUCCGAUCAAUUUGUUAAAAUGGAGAAUAUAGAGGUGUUUUCAGGUGCGAUUCCAUCGCCGGAAUAGUACUGAGGUCUGAACAGCUGUUUUGAUGUCGUCGAGGAACGAAAGGAUGCGAUGAAUGACAGCCUCCGGUAGAUUGCUUAAGCUGUCGAUUGAAGAAUCAUCUCCCCCUUCUCCCGAUUGGGUUCUUCCAGCUACCUGAUUGCUCAUACUUCUCCAAUGGAAAUUGCAAAGCUGGAUUUGUGCUUCAAGUUCAGAUAUGGCGGCAUUAGUUUCUCAUUUACAGUGGUUAUUAGCAUUUGGCGUACUGUAUGUUUUCAUUUUGUACUAAGUAGUCCCAUAUUGUUUCAAAAAAAUCGAUUCGUAGUAAACAUUUCAAAACCUAACAAAUUAGUACUAUCCCUACUUUCCUCCUCGACUCCCUUUUCUGGCAAAUCACAUCUCGUCACCAUGAUUAUUAAGAAAAAAUGAGUUCCACCUUAUUUCGCGACCCCAUGGGGUUGAGUACUUUUUGUUCUUUUAGAAAUUACGAUUAGAAGUAUCGAGAUAACAAAUUAUUUUACCUAAAAAAAAGGAAGAUGGGUGGGAUUGGCUUUGGCUGGAGGGAGAGGAAGAGAAUAUAGAACUAGAGUAAUUUUGAGAUUAAGUGAUAAAUGCAGAAAGUAAGUCAAUUUAAAAAAAUUUAAUAUUUUAUAGAAUAUGAAUUAUUAUUGAAUGAAUAGUAUUUGGUUGUCUUAUGAGGAUUUUAUUUUGAGUUUAUUAAAUAAUGUUUGGUUUUCUUAUGAGAGGUUUAUUUUGAGUUUAUUNNNNNNNNNNNNNNNNNNNNNNNNNNNNNNNNNNNNNNNNNNNNNNNNNNNNNNNNNNNNNNNNNNNNNNNNNNNNNNNNNNNNNNNNNNNNNNNNNNNNNNNNNNNNNNNNNNNNNNNNNNNNNNNNNNNNNNNNNNNNNNNNNNNNNNNNNNNNNNNNNNNNNNNNNNNNNNNNNNNNNNNNNNNNNNNNNNNNNNNNNNNNNNNNNNNNNNNNNNNNNNNNNNNNNNNNNNNNNNNNNNNNNNNNNNNNNNNNNNNNNNNNNNNNNNNNNNNNNNNNNNNNNNNNNNNNNNNNNNNNNNNNNNNNNNNNNNNNNNNNNNNNNNNNNNNNNNNNNNNNNNNNNNNNNNNNNNNNNNNNNNNNNNNNNNNNNNNNNNNNNNNNNNNNNNNNNNNNNNNNNNNNNNNNNNNNNNNNNNNNNNNNNNNNNNNNNNNNNNNNNNNNNNNNNNNNNNNNNNNNNNNNNNNNNNNNNNNNNNNNNNNNNNNNAUUUUAACUUCAUUUAGCCAUUAUUUACAGAGGUUAUUAUAGUGAAACUUGAUUUUUUAAUCAUUUCAAACAUGUAUAUUAAAUAUUAUCCAAUUUUGAAAUUUUCUUCUGAAAAUAGUCCAUUUUCUUUAAAUAACACACGUGAUAUGAAAAUUUUCAAUUUUUCAAAUUGAUUAAUAUUUAACAUGUAUGUUGAGAAUGACUACAAAUUGAAAUUUCACCAUAUUAAACCCUUCAAAUAAUAGUCAAAUAAUUAAACCCAAUUCUGUCGAAUUUGAGGAUUCAAUUCUGUGUAAUUCCAACCGUCGAAUUCUGCGUAAGUAGAAUAAAGAAACAGAUUCCUAGUCUUUAGACAACAUCAGUUGUGGAACCUCAACAAUUCAUCUCAAAUCCUUACCUACCUUAAACUACCAUGACAAAAGAACUCAAGAACAACAAUCAAAUGUGCAAUUUACAAAAACACAUUACACAACCACAAAUCAGUUCUUUGAACAAGAAGAUUCAGCAACAUCCUCAUCAUCAUCCAACAUCAGUUCCGAAAAAUCCACGUCAUCCUUGACCAUCAUUUUGCCCUUAUCCCCCGAGCCGCCACCAUCGAUGACUCGACUCAGUCUCUCCACCCACACUUCAUACUCAACAGGGUAAGGAGUUCCUGAAAGGCUAUCAACAUAGUCAGCAAACGCCUUCAAAAUCGGCGAAACCUCACCGAGCUCUCGCUGGAUCAAUCUCUCCCCCCAGCUCCUCUCCCUCCAUUGCAACGCCGAUUCGAUCGAAUCGUGCUGCAUUGUCCCGCUUCUUCCACAGACGAAUAAUAAUACGUACACGAGACUCUCGGCAUCAGAUGAUGGACAUAGCUUCCCGUUCUGAAGCGCAUAGGACGACGAAAAUUGUAAAUUUAUUGCUGCACCAUCCUUCUCCUCCAAUACUGCUCGCCCCCAUGAGAUCGCCAAGUAGGAAAAUCUACCUUGUCGAUCAUGAAACCGAACGAUAUUCUCGGGACAGAUGUCACCAUGUAGGACAUUGGCAGAUGCAGCAGUACCUAACCCAGCAAGGCAAUCUCUACAGCAACGGAUCGCCUCUUGAGAUCGAAAGGCUCCAUCUUUCGCGACAAUGAACGAUAUCGGCUCCCCUAAAGGAGACGUCACGAGUACCGGAGUGCCACAAAUUGGAUGGUCACACGUUCCACGAGGGUUCUGUCUCGUGCAUUGACCGGAAUGCAACACUCGACCGGAUGAAACUUUCUCCGGAAGGCAUCUGUUGUGAAAAGAUCCUUUCUUUUUCAAGAUGUUCAAUACUUUUGUCUGUCUUUGUACUUGAUACCAUAGACUCAUGUCUUCCCAGCAUGGCUCGAGUUUCGAGGGAUGUGCUCCGACGUAUAAAGUCAGUAGCUUUUCUGGAGAAUCCAGCUCAACUGCACUGUAAAGGAAAUGAUUCCCUCCGACUGAAGAUUCCUGGAUUUGGAAUCUUUUCGGACCUUGCUCCUGAUCAUCCACCACUAGCAUUUCUCCCGGUCGAAGCUUCAAUCUUUUCGGAGUAUAAACCUCUACGAUCUCAUUUCUGAUCUCUGAAGUGGACUCAUUUCUGAUCUCUGAAGUGGACUCAUUUCUGAUCGAAGUGGACUCAUUUCUGAUCACCUGACGUUCGAUUUUUCGUUUCUGGACCCUUAGACCAUGCUCCGACGCCAACAAAGAUACUGACUUCUUAGGCGAGCCGAUCGAUUCCACCAUUGAGUAGAAAGUUGCUAAAAUCACUUGCAAAGUCCCUAUAUCUCCCCAGUUCGCAUUACCUAGCCUGUUCCACACCUGAUCAACCGGCGAAACUCGAAUUUCGGAAUGGCACUUGAUCCAUUCGGUUACAGAGUCGUAAGGAUCAUCGGUAUGGUUCAGCUCGAGUUGACUCAGAUCGCCUUCGAUCUUCACCAUGCCGCCAAAUGUUGAGUCACAAACCAGAAUGUAAACAAAAGAUCUGCUGCCAGCUGUAAUACUUAGCUUGUUCCUCAAGCUUCUAGCAAGAAGUAUAUGAACACCGAAAAAUAUGGCUUCACAGAUGAUCCCUGGAGAUAGCUUCAGUUCUUCAUUAUCGGACAGUAUAUUCGGUCUAAACAAGGUGAACUCAAUCACUUGGUGCCAAUGUGAAUGAUCCUCAGAUUUCAAUACGAGUGCCACACCUUGGAUCUCUUCGAGCCUUCCUCUAGAAGCAGCUGUCUCUACAGAAGUAUAGAAUUUCGAUCCGAGUUUACGUGGACACGAUAUGCUAAAUGGAGAUGGUCGACUUUUGUGCCAAAAUGUACGCCACAGACCGUUCAUUACCGCGUGGAGGAAGUCCUCGAUCGCGAGAUAGUGGCCUUCUUGUGUAUCGUUAGACGAAUGAGUAGUGGAGCAAGGCAUGCGGCAUAGUUGCUUGAAAGGGACUCCUUCCAAUGCUAAGUCAAGGUUCAGUAAUUCAUCAAUGGAGAAGGGAGACCUGAAUAUUUCGGAUUGUGAAUCUUGUUGAGUGUUUUCGGAAACCCAGGUUUCGAGUCGAUGUGUGAAGAGAUCGAGGCUGAUGAGGUUUCGUGCACACUCCUUCAGAGCCUUGGACAGUCUUCUGGAGCUAGGAAGUGAUUUGCUUGUAGUGGAAAGAUCCGAUAAACUCCUUCCAGAUAACACUGCAGUUGUAAAAGAAUCUUUCCAAGUAAACUACAUAGGCUUAUGAGGAUGACACGACAUUCGAAUGAAGCAUACUAUAUCAGAUAUGAAUGCUCGAGUUAUGUUAUGGACGAUAUGAACUCUAGACUCAUAUUUAUCCAUUAGAAUGACAAGUGAUGAGGUAGUGCGACAAACCAGAGCCUGAGAUCCUGAAACUACCAUCCAAACUUCUUCCAACGGACGAAUCCAAGUCAUUGUGCUGCGACAGACCUGAAAUAGCAAAGAGGUUACUCAAAUACACAGCAAUGAGCUAUAACUGUAAAAUAUCAUUUCAGCCAGGAUGAGAAACAAACGAGAUAUGAUGAACUUAAUCGUCAAUCCUACUAAAAACUGACUGGCUGUAACAAGAAAUCAGAUGUCUAGCCACCCUCUUAUGAGAUAACUGUUUGGACUUUUAAGCAGACAAACCAAUUUAGUAGCAGGAAAGUGGUAGAAGUUGGAAGAACUACAGCAGAGUCAAAGACAAACUCAUGAAUCAAUCAUCUUCAAUAGUCCGGAAAUGGCAAGUACUUCUCUACAAAAGUAUUCUGAUUUUAGCAUUCCUAGCUUUGAGCCAUACAUAAACAAAGGGAUUGGCCUACUGGCAAAGGUCGAACCUUCGAGCAACAUCAUUUUGAUAAUUCAGAAGACAUAUAUAUACCUGUUCUGGUCUUCCUAAAACUUCCAUUCAAGCCUUCCCUAAGUGACACACUGGCAUCGUUUUCUUGCAAGCCUGCAUUAUAGCAGCCUUUAGUACAUAAAGACUGAAACUAUAAGCAUGGUUAGAACAAAGGAAAGUACAUAAACUCCAGAUAUGAAAUGACUUCACUGCACAAGCUGUAUAGCUGUGCUAUAAAAAUUCUUACGGCAACGGCGCUAUAAAGAUAGUAAUGCAUUCACUAUCUCCACUCAUCUUGCAUACUAACUAAACGCAAAUCAAGCUCCUAUUUCACCUGCGAACUUUCCAUAAACGGUGAACUUCAUAGCAGUGGAUCCUAACUAAGUAGUAAAGCCUUAGAUUUGAGAAUACCACUGGUAAAGCACCACGAACUUGUAGCUACAACUGAAAGCAACCCAAAGCUGGAAAUGAAGAAAGACGGAGAAUUUCGACUUACCCAUUUGGUUUCCGCCGAGAUGGGAUCCCCAAAAGGAACAAGGUCAAGAAAAGAACCCAACUUUCACAGCAUUUUGAGAUUCGAAGCAUUGCAAUGGCGGCAUCUUAGGGUGUUGCAGAGGAACAUUUUCAUUGGGAAGCCGGAGAAAGAAAGGAGGAGGAAGAUCAGAACAAAGGAAUAGAGUUAUUAAUCGAUUGCUGUGUUGUUGGUCGCAUUCUUGAAGCUGAAGAAUUUUGGAAAGUCAUGGGAGGCAAAAUCAUUAAUAUGUAUCAUCAUUAAAUAAAAAGAAAAUGAAGGGAAAUGGACAGCGUGGAUAAUGGCAGAAAAAAGAAAAAUCAAAACUAAUAAAUAAGCAAUUUUCAUUGAGCUGCGUGUAAAAUUGAUUAUGAACGACAAAAUGAUAAAUUUUCAUUCAAGACUCCAGUUUGACCAAAUUUCUGGGUCAACUCAACUUCUCUUACCUUUUGGCUUUUCAUCUCUCCCAUGUGUACUAAUUAAAUGAAAUUUACAAAAUUAAUCAAAUUUUUAAAUUUUUUAGUUCAUCUAGUCCAUUUUUAUUCUUAAAACAAAAUGUAUUUUAAAGCUGAGGGGGCUUUAGCCAUUAUUUUAGCGCUCGACUUGCGGCUCGGCCGAUGGUGUUGUUUUCGCAGGACCCCUCGCCGCAGUGUUGUUGGUGUGAGCUUGGUUUAUGUUAGUGGAUGCAGUUUGUGAUGGUUGUACAGUAACAGCUAUGGUGGAGUUGUUUGUUGUGCGGUGAUUGUGGUCUUGUUUGGUGUGGUUGUGGUAGGAUUUUUAGCGAUUAGGGCCUACAUGACAUGAGUGGUGGUUAUUGGGUGGGUGCGAUAUUAGCCAUCGGGGUUUUAUCGACGGGGCCAUAUGAUUGGGGUUGUAAGAGGGCGAUGGUGGUGUUGGUGGAUGGUGAAAAAAAUCCUAGGGUGCUCUUCUAAAAAAGAGGAAAAUAAAGGUCUCAAGCGGAGAUGAAAACUUGCAGAAAGAUUUUGACACCGCGAGUGUAACUUUUUGUGUUUGAUUAUUAGAUGUUCUUGUGUUUGAUAAUGAUUUUUUAAUUAAUUGAUCAUUCACUUAAAAGAUCACUUGAUUAUUAGCCAAGUAAACUUCAGAAUAGUGUUGUUGAUGAUUUAUAUAUAUUAAGUUCGAAUUCAGUUAUAUUCUACAAAUAAACAAUUAUUUUAUAUUUAUAUUUUCUUUCUGGACAUCUUCACUUUAUUUAUUUUCUAAUUAAUAAAAACUCUAGAAUCUUCCGCUCCAUCAAUUAUUGCAACUAGGAAAUUGCUUGUUUUCUAUACCUACCUUCUCCAACACGUAAUUUAUAAGGUAGUUGACCUAAUAGAAUAUACAUAUGCGGUAUUUUACAUAUUUAAGUCAAUUUCUUUAAUCCAAUUUAAUCGACCUUUUCUAUAUAUUUUGACUAAUUCAUAUGGUACUUAGUUUGUCGUACUAAAGUUAAUUGUCUAAUGCAUAUCGUGAUCAUCCAAUUAUGAUUCACUAAAACUUAACUAUCGCAUCUUCACUUUCAGAAACAGAAAAAUAACAACAUUUAGGAUAAUAUUCAAGUUCUAUAAUAAUUCAUUUUCAAAGAUCUACAAACAUAAUUAUAACAACAUCGAUGAUAAAUCCAUCAUUGGUGUUGAUAAGAGGAAAGCUAAAUUUGUAUGUUAUUAAUUAUUAAAAUGAUUAAAUUAUUAAGGCAUUCAAUAUAAAUUUGUUUCUAUCCAAAUUUGUAUGUUAUUAAUUAUAAGAGCAUUUUCAUCCCCAAAUUCUAAAAUUUAUAUCUGACUCUCGUUGAGACGAACCUGAAUGACAAACUAUUUGUGGACUGUGUCUUGAAGAAAAUGAAGGCUGACGGGAUAUAUAUGAACAAUGCAAUGGCUGCAAUACUUCAUGUGUGUAGCGCAUUUCAGACCAAGCAUUUUAUAAGAAUGCAUGAAACCUUACAGUCAUUGCAUUGUUGGGAUGGAUCCUGUCAGCCUUCAUCAUCUUCAAGACACGGUCCGCAUGCAGCUUUGCGUUCAAAUACGCAUCAACAAGAGUCAGGUAUUGAGUCCGGCAAGCUAGAUGUCCAGCCUGCCUCAUCUCAGACAUUAUCUUUUCGGCAUUGUGGACAUUAUAUACCUCAUGUCAAUUACCUCUCUCACAACUCUUCGACGCUAAAUCGCGUAAUACUGACUCAACCUUCUCGAUUUUCCCCACAUUUAGGUAGAGCUCUACGAGGGAGCUCCACGUAUAUGGCCCUAUAUAGCAGCUCCUGCCGACCAUCUUUUCAAAGAGUUCCUCACCCUUGACCAGCAUACCGUGUUUUGCAUACACAUUCAUGAGCACGUCAUAAUAUUGCGAAGAUACAAUGACCAAUGUCGACAUCAUGUUCACGAACACCGUCUCGGUCUCGCUUACUAGCUUUAGCUUCCCGAAAGCAAAAUACUUGUGUUUGAAAUCAAAUACAAAUAUUUAAGGUCUCGUUUAGUAUGAGAUAUCUUGAAUAAUCAGUUAUUUUUAUGUUUUUUUUUGUAUGUUAUUGAUAUCAAGUUUUGGAAGAUUAAAAUAUGCUUGUUUGAUAUAUAACAUUAAGUGGAAAUAGAAUUUUACAAGACUAUUGUUGUGGAAAUAAUUUAUAUCUAAAAUGUUAGGAAGGUCGAAGCUAAAAUUAAAUAUACAUUAGUUCUGUUCCCGCCCUAUGUUAGUAUAUCUAUUUAAUAUAAUUAAAUUUAAUCCAACUAAAUCGAAACCGAUUUUAUCGAACCAAACAAAUGAUUCCUUAUCUGUUUUAUGACUUCGGUAGAUUUUUAGCUUGUAUUAUUUACUUUAUUUUCUCUUGUUGGGAAUUAUCUACAAAGGGGAAAAAAACUUAAAUUGGUCACUCAAUGAAUCUAUUGAUUUGCUAGCCUAACUAAUACCAUUGUCUCAAAAUCUACUAGUAUCCCGAUACGUCCAUAUUAGUAGUGUUUGUAAUUGAAGGCUAAUUUAUUGGUAUAAUAAAACUGUGAUCAUAAUAAUUAUUGACCAUGUACACAUUAAGGAAUUGGGCUUGAUGGGUUAUCCACGUAUAGCAUGAAGGGACUGAAUUGGGCUGUAAGGAAAGGCUAACGGACCAUGACGGACAGAAAGAAGCCCAUCAAUCAUAUAACUUACAGGCCCAUUAAAAUACUCAAAAGCUGAGAAAGAGCGUCUGACUGAACCUACAGUAGUAAUCGUCAGGAGAAUCAAUUUCAGCUGGAGAAAUCUGAAAUCUCCCGUCCGUCAACCUCCGGUGGAAAAGUUUGGGAAGAAUCCGGCGGCAUCAGAUUAGCGGAGAUGGAUAAGAAGGCGUUGUUUAGAGCUAAAUUGAAUGCUCAGAAGAAGGUCCAGCGAAUCGAUUCUCCUCUAGUCAGGUACCUCGCCUCUCUAGCUUGCCCGAAAUCUAAUCUCCGCUCGAGUUUGCUCUCCGCUUGACGAAUUUGAAAACCCUAGCAGUCUAGUAAUGGUGGAUUUUGUUGUAGUUCUCUAGUAGUUUAUGAAGGAUUAGAAUAAACUGUGUCUCAUGUGUGUUUGGCAUUCUACUUAUCUAAAUGGAAGAUGUUCAUCGUUAGUGUUUCAUCAUCUCUGAUUCUCCGGUAGUGUCAGGCCUUUUGCGAUUAGUGCAAACGUUGCUUGUGUUCAUCCUGGUUCUUAUAGCUGGCUUUUUGUGCUUUUUUAUGCAGGUAUAACGAGUCUGAUCAACCGGUUUGUAGAGUGUGCAAUUUUCUUUUGAAGGAAUCUCAAUGGGAUGCUCACCAAGCUUCUCGCAAACAUCGUGAGGUCAUAUCUUAGCUCCUAAUCUUUGCUUGCUAUGAUGUUCAAACUGUUUGUAUUUACAUAGAUUCAUCGAAAUGUUAUGCUAUACUUCACAUUGAAUGCCAUAUUGGAUGGUAGUUGCUUAUUGAUAAAGACUAUUCAACUUAAGGUUAUCAAAGCCUAGUGUGUAAUUGUCUCUCUUUUGUUACUAUAUUUUGAUUCAGUGGAAUUUUCUGGGACAGGCAAUAGAUAAACUAAAGGCUAAUGCAGCUGCGAAGACGAAUGCUACGAAUUCGAAACCGGAACCUCGUUCUGAAUCAACCAGAGUUGCAUCCACAAAAAGUGUAGAGUCUGCUACACAGAAAGCUGAUCCACCAACAAAGUCAUCAAAGCCACAGUCAUCAUCUGCACUUCCUCCGAACUUUUUUGAUAAUCAUGGGCCAAAGAGCCAAAGCACUGGUAUGGAUGUUUCUUUACUAUAGUCUGUAUAGUGUACUGUCCGAGAAAUUAGAUGGCUUGGUUGAGUUCUUGUACUUGAGCAUCGUUUUUACUCUGUUUUGAAGAAGGCCUGCCAUUUCCUCUCCCUUUCAAUGUUUUUUCAUUCAGACCAUUGAAUCAAUAUUGUUAUCUUUGCUUUCUUAACGUCAGUAUGACUGUAUGAGCAUUUUUGCAGCCUGUGAAAUUAAAACAAAGUCUAAAUUCAUUUUAGGUGCAAACUCUGACAAGGUGGCGGAUUCAGAUCCACAUAGCGAGUUAAAUGGUUCCCUUGGACCCAAAACUACUGAGCCUCUUCCAGAGGAUAAACCGGAAGCACAUUCUGCAGAGGUUGCUAGAGAGCAUACACAGUCCCAAACAGAUGUCACUCACUCGGAAACCAAAUUGGCGAAGGGGUCUCUCCCAGAAGGUUUCUUUGAUAACCAGGAAGCUGAUUUGCGGGCUCGUGGCAUAAAGAUUGUGAAGCCGGAUGUUAAGUGAGUUCUUUCUCACCUCUUUUAUAUCUUAAGUUUGUCCUUUUUCUGGCAUUGGUUUCAAGGUUAUUUAAUUCCAUAUAUAGGACUUGAAGCUUUUGUUUGCAUCUGGGAUGUAAAAUUAACAUCUUUGUCCAAGCAUGGUGUCUGAGUCUGAAUGAACGCUACAUCGCCUAUUUGAUGCAAUGAUUGAUUUCGUAAUUUUGGUCAGCUACUAAUUCCUAUCUUGCUUCUUGAACAACUGAUAUCUAAUUAAAUCUUUGGCAGGGAUGAGUACAAAGAAUUCGAGAAACUGAUCCAAGAAGACCUGAGGGAGGUAGACGACCGGUUAGAGGAAGAGGAGGUCAGUACUAUAGUUCCAAGCUUGUCAAUGCAAAAGUUAGCUACAUUAUGAUACUUGAUGAUUCUUCCGAGUCCUCCAACUGUCAUUUGAAAUCGGUUAAAUGUUUCUUGUCUCCAGAUUGAUGCAGCUGAGAAGAUCGAAGAAGCCGAGACUGUAGAGCAGAAGUGAGUUCAUUAACUAACAUGCAAGAAAGUUCAAUAUAAUUUUGCCUUCAAAACCUUUCUUCUAACUCGUGUGAGUCUUUCAGGACCUACAUGGAAAAGGUGGAAUUGCUGAAAAGGAGGAGAAUGGAGUUGGAAUCUGCCAAGUCAGCGAAACGGAGUAAAGGCAGAGGAGCUGGUUCGAAGGUCACGAAGAAAGAAUCCGGUGAUGAAGAAGAUUCUUCCAGCGAUGGAGACAGCGACGGCGAGGGUAAUUUCACAGUUGAUUGGAGAGCUCAACAUCUAUGAAUGAAGGGUGGAUUUCAUUCAUGACUGCAGCAAAGUUAGCAGGUGCUUCUCAAACUUUCAAAGUGUUUUGCUUGUUAUAUUUUCUGGAAGUUAAUUGACUGUGUUAGUUGAUGGUAGAUUCUGAUACAUAUCUAACAUGCUACCACCAAAUCCUAUGUAAAUUUUACGAUAAGAUUUCUAUCCAAAGACAAUCCAAAUUUAGAAAAAGUAAAUGGUACAUUUAAGUAUAUUACAGUUCAUAACCAAUUAGGAAUAAUUAAUGUUCAUCAUCAUCAUCAUCAUCGCACUCCAAAAGCGUGAUCAGUGAGAUGAAUUAUAGUAAUUAUUUAGUAACAGCAUGAUAAGAGCAGUGCUAAUUAGAUUUAGUGCUAACUAAACUUUGUUCUUGUGGCUUAAACACAGUGCUAAUCACUUUAUUGACAGAUUCCCAUCUGCAUGUCCCAAGUGGAGAUAAAAGUGUGGCUUUUCCCAAUCCACUUGUUGCUUACUAAGUAAACAUUCAUUCUUUUAUGAGUGACUCUUAGAGAUCAGUGCUGUUCAAUUAGUUAAGAGCAGUGGAUUAGGCCAUCACCUCACUUGUAAACAACCGAUCUCGUAACUAAACCGGCGGUCGAGACUACCCUACGCGAUCAUGUACGAUACAUUUGCAAGAUGAUUCAAUUGAACUUGACAAAAGUAUCAGUGGAGAAGUCACUGUGACGGAUGUGGUGCAAAAGGCGGGUACAGACCUGACGGGGUUGAAUUUCAUCAACAACAAAAAGGGACCCCUUGGCGGUGGCUCGAGUUGGUUGACUCCUGGUUCGGCCAUUGGAUAACGGGAUGGGUCAAGUAAGAAGGGGAGGGGCCAGGGGAGUAGUGCUGGUGUGUGAUCAGUUGUUAAUUCUGGAUUUUAAUGCAAUGUAGCUCGUAGCCACUAAUAGUGUCACUAAUUAAACUGAAAAUUAACAAAUUAAUUGUUUCUGAAUUAGAUCAGAACGCAGGCUUUGUUAUAUAAAAAUGGUUGAUAAGUGGACAGAAACUAAAGCAAAAGUCCAUCAAAUCCCUCAACUAAGAGUCAUUUAUUUGGCCAUUUUGCAGAACUGCAUGCCCUCUACAAUUUUCUAAUUCAUCACUAGUGUACGUAAGUAGUGGCAGUCUGACAGUGUUUCUGAGAGGGCCACUAAUUGUUUGCCUUGCCGUCCCACUAUCUUUAUCUUUAAUAGCGACUAGGUUCUUGCCUUUCGCGGCGGAGCUGAUUCAACGUACUGAUUCGUAGGUUUUAUUGUUGUCUGUACGUGUUGAAAUGUAUUAUAAAAUGAUCUGGUUCCCACAUAAAUGUUUAUGGUCGAAGUUAACAAAAUGCAAUUUAUGUAACGACGACUCAACAUGUUGAAAAUAAGUCAAUUUGAAAAAAAUUCAAUACUAACAUGACACCAAGUAAAAUUGAUUUUUAACUUCAUUUAGCUAUUAUUUACAGGAGUCAUUAUAGUAAAACUUGAUUUUUUUAGUCAUUUCCAACAUUCAUGUCAAAUAUUAACGGAUUUUAAGAUUUUCUUAUAAAAAUGGUCAAUUUUCCUUAGUAUAACUCAUGGAAAUUGACAAUUUUUAAAUGAAAAUUGAAUUUUUUUAAAUUAACUAAUAUACAUGUUAAAAAUAAUUAAAAUUUAAUAUUUCAUCAUAUUAAACACACUUCAAGUAAUAAUCAAAUGAAAAUAAAAAACAUUUGACAGUUCAUUAGAAAAACAUUGAACGGAAAUACACAUCUCGUGUUCAUUUGUGGGCUACAGUUAGAUACACCGGUAUUAAAAUACUUAAAUCAUCUCAUUUAACUCAUUAACUAAUAUUAAUUAUGCAUUCUAAUUUUGUUUGGGUUGUCCUUAAGUGGUUUAGAAAACCUUUUGCCCUUUUCCAUUGGCCUCCUUACGACAAAAGUUACUAUCCCUAUCUAUGAUCCAAUCAUUAUGCCACUGUCACAAAAUCAACGUGAUGAUUAUUCUUUUACCCACACAAAAGGCAAAUGAUUAGAUUUCAUGUACCAUAAAUAACUUAAUAACCCAACUUCCAUGAAUCUCAAAUGAUAUACCGCCUGGACUCAAAUUUCCUCUCGAACGAGAAAGUGUUUAAAAUUUUAAUCCACAUCCCGAUUAUCAAAUGGACUAUAAUAUUUCGAAUUUCUAAUGGAUGGAUAAGUUUGGAUUUGUACUAAAUCUGCAAUACCCUUCAAAAUCAACGGCCGUGGGCAGCCGCCAGCCAGCUUAACCGAUAACCAUGGACAGAUUAAUAUUUGAUUAUCAAUGGUCUGCGACUAUGCAUAUUAUUAAUUAUUAAUUAGGAUUAAUAACUGAGAUUUGAGGAAUAAUAAAUUUAAAAAAAGUACGGGAGAAAAAAGGACCGCCGCGUGCGCCUAUAAAUGCCAUCCCCGGAGAUCCCGCUGCCUCUGUGAAUCAUCACUGCAAACGGAAAUAUUUAAAUUUCGUUACCAUUUCAGUCUCAAUUUUUCACCACCGUCAUUUCCCUUUCCGGCCGAUUCGUUUUCCCAACCGUCUCCGUCCAUACACCCAAGCGCGCCAUUAAUCUACUUCCCCAAUCAACAUCAAACAAUCCAAUCCCCACUUUUUCCCCUUUCCCGCAUUGCUGGAUCUCGUGAUACUCCCAAUUUGCGGACACUCACACGUCACCCUUCGUCAUCCCCUCCCCGAUCCUUCUUAUACGCACUCCCUGAUCAGCUGAACUGAAAUUUGGGUAUUUGAAAUUAGACGUACAUUCAUACCUGACGAUGACAAGCGAGGAGACAGCGGCGGAGAGGGCGGUGGAGAGGGUGGAAAAGGAUGAGAAUGAGGCGGCGGCGGCGAGGGAGGAGGAGGAAGAGGAAUUUGAACUUCAGGAUGUGAGGGAGAGAUUGAGGAGAGGGAGCAGAUUCAAUCGGAUCGAAAGCGACUUCGAUUUAAGUAUACACCGCCGCCGCCGCCGCGGGGGCGGGGGCGGGAAGUGGAGCCACUGAGGGGGUGGGGCGGGCNNNNNNNNNNNNNNNNNNNNNNNNNNNNNNNNNNNNNNNNNNNNNNNUAAAUUAUCCCCCGCCGCCGCCGCCGCGGCGGCGGAGGAGAAAGCGGAAGCAGCGGAGGAGGAGGAUCUGGCCUGAGUACAAGGUUCAGCCGUCAGUCUCUGAUCGAUGGAUUCCAUCACGUCUCCACCGGUCUCGUCAUUCAUCCCGACAACAGGUCAAACUCUCCUCUUCCACUUCUCCCGCCUUUCUCCGAUUUGGGAGAAAAUCGUAAAUAGUGCUCGAAAUCAGGGGCAAUACAGUCCUUAACCAAAUCACAGAGCAAAUUUUCCUUUGGUCUGUUUGUUAAUACUGUAGACUUAAUUUGCAUAUCGAUUGAAGCUGUGUGAUUAAUAUUGCAGAUGGUAUCGAGCAUGGUCGAAGUUCAUACUGCUAUGGGCAGUGUACUCGUCAUUCUUCACGCCGAUGGAGUUUGGAUUCUUCAGGGGAUUACCUGAGAAUCUCUUCAUUUUGGACAUUGUUGGCCAGAUUGCUUUCCUUUUCGACAUUGUUUUCCAGUUCUUCAUCUCCUACAGAGACCCGCAGACUUAUCGUAUGGUCUACAAGCGCGCCCCCAUAGCUCUUCGGUAAAGUAAUUUUGAGCUCUUUCGAUUAUCCAAUUGUUCACCAAUCCUGAUUUUUGCUCAAGUCGUUCUUUUCUUGUUAUAACAGGUAUUUAAAAUCUCAUUUCAUUAUCGAUUUGCUUUGUUGCAUGCCUUGGGACAUCAUCUACAAGGUAAUUGCUUUUGUUUGCAGGUUUUGCAGUGUGGGUAUGAUUUGAAUUUCAUGUUCUGAUGAGAAACAUAUCAUCUUGCAGGCUUCUGGGCACAAGGAGGAAGUGAGGUAUCUUCUGUGGAUUAGGCUAUGGCGAGUGCGAAGAGUUACGCAUUUUUUCUACAGGAUGGAGAAAGACAUAAGGAUUAAUUAUCUCUUCACUAGAAUUAUUAAGCUGAUUGCAGUGGAGCUCUACUGUACACACACAGCAGCCUGCAUUUUUUACUAUUUAGCUACUACUCUUCCAGCUGCCAGUGAGGGUUACACAUGGAUUGGAAGUUUGAAGAUGGGGGAUUACAGUUAUGCGCAGUUUCGAGAUAUCGAGAUCUGGAAACGGUAUACCACAUCUUUGUAUUUCGCCAUUGUCACUAUGGCUACUGUUGGUGAGUCAUCAUCUUAGUUUCGAGCUUACGUUAGAGGUCGUUUUCUUUUCCUUUUUGGUAGUUUCUUAGCCAAGAUGACUUUUUUUGUUGUGACAGGGUAUGGAGAUAUACAUGCUGUGAAUAUGAGGGAGAUGAUAUUUGUGAUGAUAUACGUAUCGUUUGAUAUGAUCCUGGGAGCUUAUUUGAUUGGUAACAUGACUGCAUUAAUCGUGAAAGGAUCCAAGACGGAGAAGUACAGGGAUAAAAUGACGGAUCUCAUCAAAUAUAUGAACAGGAAUCGUCUCGGAAGGGAUAUUCGUAAUCAGAUUAAAGGCCAUCUUCGGUUGCAGCAUGAACGUAGCUAUACCGAAGCUUCUGUUUUGCAGGACAUUCCGAUUUCCAUUCGUGCCAAGGUUUUACUCUUAUUGAUUUUUCAUUUCGUUAUGAAACUAACAGUGUUUGAGUGCCAAGGUUUUACUCUUAUUGAUUUUUCAUUUUGUUACAAAACUAACAGUGUUUGAGUUUCUUGUUCGUGAAUCGUAACAACUUGCUUCUUCCUUGCAGAUCUCCGAAACUUUGUUCCUUCCUAUCGUUGAAAAGGUUUCUCUUUUUAAAGGAUGCUCUUCAGAAUUUAUCAAUCAGAUUGUACGUAUCCAUCUUUUCUUUCAUAAGAUUGUUGAUAUCAUAUCGUCGCUGCUAUAACCUAAGUAUCUCUUUGAUAUUACAGGCGGUUAGGCUCCAUGAAGAGUUUUUUCUUCCUGGAGAAGUGAUAUUAGAACAAGGAAGUGUAGUGGAUCAACUAUAUUUUGUUUGCCAGGGUGCUCUGGUAUAUAUGAAUCCACUUCUAUUGUUUCCAGUUGCUUCGACUUGAAAGAAUUAUUUUGCAUUAGAGCUUUGUAUUUGUGUUAUUCAGGAAGAGGUUGGGAUGGUAGAAGAUGGAUCAGAAGAGACAGUUUCACUUCUAUCACCAAACAGCUCCUUUGGAGAAAUCUCGAUCCUUUGCAACAUUCCUCAACCAUAUACUGUUCGAGUUUGCGAGUUAUGCAGACUUCUGCGACUAGACAAACAGGCUUUCUCGGACAUACUCGAGAUAUACUUCUAUGACGGGCGAAAAAUUCUGAACAACCUACUCGAGGUAUAUACAAUAUAUCGGAAUUCUGGUUGGAUUUUAGAGUUGAAAGUUUGUCUUGUUUUACUUCUAAGUGUUGAAAAGAAAACUAUGCAGGCGAAGAAAGCACCGAUCCGAGAUAAGCAACUGGAAUCGGAUAUCACGUUUCACAUUGGAAAGCAAGAAGCUGAACUUGCUUUAAGAGUAAAUAGUGCAGCUUAUCAUGGGGAUCUUAUCCAACUAAAGGGCUUCAUUCGCGCCGGAGCCGAUCCCAACAGAACUGAUUACGAUGGCAGAUCACCAUUGGUACACAAUCUGAAACCCUAUGCUCUUUUGGCUUAGCUUGCACACCAAGAAACAUCAUAGGCUUAUAUAUGCUGUUUCUUUGCACAGCAUCUUGCAGCAUCAAGGGGUUAUGAAGACAUGGCAAGGUUCCUCAUUCAAAAGGGAGUUGAUGUGAACAUGAAAGGUAAUAACUUGUUUGUCAAGCAUUCAUUCAGGCCCCUUGGUAAUUAAUGGUUCUAAUAUUGAUUCGUGUACCUAGACAAAUUCGGGAACACGCCUUUGAUGGAAGCGAUAAAAUCCGGACACGAUCGACUCGCAUCAUUACUUGUCGCCAAAGGCGCCUCCUUAAACAUAGAGGAUGCAGGUAGCUCCCUGUGCACGGCAGUUGCAAGGGGGGACUCUGAUUUCCUCAAGAGGAUUCUGGCCAACGGCGUCGAUCCGAACUCGAAGGACUACGAUCACCGGACUCCGCUCCACGUAGCUUCCUCGGAAGGGCUGUUCUUAAUGGCUAAGUUGCUGGUAGAAGCCGGCGCCAGUGUUUUCACAAAGGACAGGUAAGUUUUACAGAAUUUUGUGCAGUCAGUCUGGUUUUUUUUACAGUACAAUCUAAUAUGGCAUUUGGUAAACUUUUCAUAGAUGGGGAAACACACCACUGGAUGAAGGAAGGAGGUGUGGAAAUAAGAACUUGAUCAAGCUUUUGGAAGAGGCUAAGACUACACAGUUGGCAGAAAUGCCUGAUAGUAGUAGCUCUCAAGGAACCAAAGGUGAGAACUUGCAUUUACAAAAGUAUCAUCACCCAAGUUUUGGUAGGUCACAUUUUGGUCACUCGAUUUUUUUUCUUUAACGAAAUCAUCACUCAAGUGACCAAAAUGUUACCUCCCCAAACUCGAGCGACCGCCGAUGUUUUUAACCCUUUACUUUAGACAUGUUUGCCCUCUGGUCAGUUGCCAACAAUCUAAGUCUGAGAUUGUGCGUUUGGUGCUCUGCCAAAUUUGGACAGGAAAACCCAGCUUGAGGAAAUGCACGGUGUUCGGGUUUGCUCCAUGGAGUCCAAAGGAGGAGAGGAGGGUCGGGAUAGUGUUAUGGGUGCCACAGUCCAUUGACGAGCUUAUAGAAGCUGCGGUGGAGUUGCUCGAGUUUCAAGCCGAAGGUGGUGAUGGUGAUGCUACUUGUGUGGUGACGGAAGAUGGUGGCAGAGUUGUGGAUGUAGAUAUGGUUGAUGACGGUCAGAAACUGUAUCUAAUUAACCAAACCACACAUAGCUGAGCAAGGGCCAAAUUUUUUGGGUAAAUAACCAGUUUCCUGGUUUGCUCAAGUGUUAAUAGACUUAAUUAGAAGCUGUAAGUUAGGAGGUGUGAUUGUGUAAUUAGGGUAGUUGUAGAUGUUGUUUGUUUGUUGUUUAUAGGUCAUGAUGUAAUGAUAUUUGUGUGUGUUUAGGCUUUGUGCAAUAAAAGGUUGGAAAUUCGGAUAGCGCUUUGUACUAGGGCUGGAAAUUUGGCCACGGUUAUUCGGUUUAACUGAAUUCAAAUAAACCACAAACUGAAGUGGAGUGUAAUUCGAAUCCAACAUUGAAAUGAGGUUUCAGCCCAAUUCGGUUAUUAGUGAAUUCGUCUAAUUAACCAACUUUGAAGUGUAGCCGAAUUCGGGUUAAAAGUUCUGAAUUUGGAUCAUUUACCAAUUUGGUUAUUCAGUUUGGUUCGUGUAAUUGCCAACCUUAACCUUACCACCCAAUUUGGUUAAAGCAGUCAACCACAUUCGAGUUGAAUUUGGUCUUGGUUAACCGAAUUCAAAAUCGACGUGGUUUAACCGGUUUCACUGAAUUGCCACCGCACUAUGCCUAUUUAGCUUGACUGUGGUUGCAACCUCAAGCAUGAAGCAUUCAUUGAACGAGUGAUUACAGAGGAAAACGUCGUACUCUGCUUUUCUGCACUUGUCUUCUUGUCAUUCAUCGGGGGAGAAACAAAACAAAACUGUGGUACCUGUGCUUGAUUCCCCUUCACACAAAAUCCUAAGUGGGAAUUACACAAAGAUUCCACCGUUAUCUUUCAAAUCUACAAACUACAAGUGGGUUCCUCUGUUUUCCCCACAGUCAAGCUGCAAAUUCCUUCCCUUUCCUUUCCACGAUGAUGGGCAGCCUCGCAGUCUUCCGUACCGCUGUCGCCGGCUGUUGCUGCUUCCAGCCGCUUCCGAAUCGACAUCUCCGGUAAGUCCACUACGUUACUGCUCAUUUGCAAUCUCUCUGUUCUCCGGUACUCUGUUUUUUUGGAACUGAUACAGAGUGUUAAUAGAGCAGUUACAAGAUUAUACCUUUUCGCCGUUGCGAGAAUGAGAUGGUUGGAGCUAAACGAUAAUUAAUCAUCAUUGGACGCUGUGAUUUGCUUAUUAUUUAAAUCAUUACUUCCUUGUUGUUGUUGCUAUUGAUUCCUUUUGUUUUUUGUGAUAUUGGAACAGUGUGUCGGCAGGCGGCGGUGGCCGAAUUCUCAUCUCCGGCCAACCCAAAUACGACAGUACCCAUUCCAAUAAUUUGUUCGCUUCUUCCGCCGGCCGUCGCAUCAACCGCGUUUUUAUAUGCUCGUAAUUUCUUCUCUCCCCCUCUCUCCCUAUCUCUCUAAUUACGUGAAGUAACUAUGUCGGGUUGUUAGCCGAGCCGAAUUUCACUCAGUUCGCGUUAUUUUCUUGGCGAACUCGAUUUAGUGCUAGAAAAUUUUACACCCGAGAUUGGUACGUAUUUAUUUAGGCCAACGCGAUUUAAAGUUGGGAAAUUUUAAUAUUUGCAGUGCUCGACCUUUACUUGUCAAUUACUCUCAACAAGUCAAACUCAAAUUUUGUUCAUCAAAAUUUUUCGAUGUUUCGAUUUGUAAUAAAUCUAAAACACGUCCACUAAAAAAGCAUAGAUCGACAAGCCCAAUUAAAAAAACGUAAAAAAUUUACAAAUUUCUAUUUUUCUCAUUUAAAAAUAUUUACACCUAAAUAAUAUACUACCUACUUUUUCGUUAGUACAAUCACAAAUUACAUAAAGUAUAUUGUAUAUAGUAUUUGAAAAAAGACAUAUUGUAUUAUUGAAUAAACUAACGAGUCAGGUCAUCUCCUUGUUUGGAAACUUUUAAUUGUCUUCACAUUGCCACGUCAACAAAUUCAACAAUUCAUUUAAUGAAAAAUUUUCAACCACCUCCAUCCCUAAUUUGUUUAACAAUUUCUAUUCAUCAUUUAUAUAUUCCUUAACAAUAUUUUUUUACCAAUAAUAAUAGAUCAUUCAUAAUAUAAAUUUUAAUCAUAAAUAUUUUUUCUUAAAAAGUGAUCCAUUUGCUUAUGUGACAUUACUAAUUGACUUUUUAAAUUAGAAAGCUUUCUAAUUUAUCAAACCUAUUGCAAAAAUUUUACAAUGGAGAUGCCCUCAUAUAGUCGAGCUAGUAUUCGAGUUGGCUCUUAAACUUGAGCCAGCUUGUAAUCCUAUCGACGUGAGCAUACUAUAGCUUAGGAUUGUCUCAUUUAAGAGCUCGAGCCAUUUCGUUAGCCUAUUGAGUCCAACAUCAUCUGAGUCAAGAAUAAAAUUGACUCAUUUAAGAUCUCAAACUAACUUGCGAGCCUAUUAACUCGAACAUACACUAAUUCGAGUCGAGUUGACGAAUAAAUUUGCAUGCAUUCCUUCAAUCUGGGGGGAAACCCGCCCACCUGUCAAUUUCAACCCCCGUAAGAUUCCAUCGAUUUCGAACAAUUACAUCAGAAGAGUACAGAUUAAUAUAAAAAGGCCGGUCAACAUAAAGUAAUCUUUUGAAAGUUUCGAAAUUAUAUAAUCACCUUCUUGUCUAUAGAACUGGUAAUCAAUCGACUGAUUACCAGGAAUCUGUUCAUGUCUCUUUUUCCUCCAAGUUCAGAACUUUUAUAAUCCUACUGUAAUAAAAAAAAAACCAACAUUAUGAUUAUUCUCUCACUGUUGGUACCGAUUUCGAACUAUAGAUGCUCUGUAAGUGUGAAACCUGUGCUGCGGGAGGGAGAACAGAAGAAUCAGCAGCAGCAAGGGAUGCAAUCGGCGACGUUUGGGGCAGAGGAGGCGACGUCGCUGGUGAAGAAGCUGAGGCAGAGCUUCAACUCCGGCAAGACAAAAAGUUACGAAUGGAGAAUUUCGCAGCUGAAUGGGAUCUCGAAGAUGGUCGAGGAACGGGAAAGCGACAUCGUUUCCGCCCUCUACGACGACCUCUCCAAGCCUUCCCUUGAAGCCUUCGUUGCUGAGGUAUUGAUAAAUCAUUUAAGAUUCGUUUCAAUUUUGUCGAAAAUAAUUUCAAAUAGUAAGAAAUUUAAAAUAUGCAAGUGAUUUAAAAAAUGCGAGUUUGUUUAGUAAAGUUUAGGAAAUUAAAAAAUAAUUUUAAUUUAUGAAAAAUAAUUGUUUAAUUAUUUUAUGAAAAUUAAAAUGAUUAAUAUGUCCUUAAUUCAUUCUGUUUUUUAACUCAACAAGACAAUUUAAUCAUUUUCUACCACACAUUAUUUGAGAUUUGAUAAAUUUCUUAUCCAUUAAAUUUGAAAUCACAUUCCAAAUUAUUUGAGUGCUCACAGCGAUCACAUCACUCCUUAUAGUUUUAACAAAAAGAAAUAGAAGAGGCACAACUUCAAAUAACACUAAAAGUAAGAAAAUUUCCAAAUUUUACAUAUAAUUCGGUACUCGGGAUUAGGGAAGAAAGGAGUCGGGGACUUUCUUCGACUCCCCGUAGUUUCAUUCCUGACCAAACAUUGAGCGGGAUUAAAAAAUGCACCGAACUGGAUUCGAGAAAAUCUAAAAAAUAUAAUUGAUUUCAAUGAUCAGAACCAAAAGUGAGGUGAGACGGGCCCAAAAUCCGUGCCGGGAACUGUUUUGUUGUAGUGUCACGCAGGCUGUUCAUCCUUUUUUGGUUCUGUGUGUUGUUUGAAGAUUUCAAUGGCGAAGUCUGCCUGUAAGGAGGCAAUAGAAGGACUCAAAGACUGGAUGAAGCCUGAAACUGUACUCUUUCUUCACUCUGUUCUUCUUUUAGCUACUCAAAUUGUUGAAACGAAUUCGAAAGGUUGAAUUUUCAUUCAUUGAUGCAGGUCAAAACUACCAUUUCAACGUUUCCUUCAUCAGCAGAGAUUGUACCAGAACCUUUGGGGGUAGUGCUCGUCAUUUCCACCUGGAAUUUUCCUUUCUGUAAGUGAUCCAUGUAUUUAGAAUAAUCGUUUGUAAUCAGUUACGCAACUUAAUAACUAGUUAUAAUCGGUCUGUAAUUAGUUAUAAUCAUAUAGGGAUGAACUGAUCUUGAUUUGGUUGUGCAUGCAGUGCUGUCGAUUGAUCCAGUGAUUGCAGCCAUUUCGGCUGGGAACGCCGUGGUCCUGAAACCAUCGGAGAUAGCUCCGGCUACAUCUUCACUCUUGUCAAAGCUACUACAAGAGUACUUGGACGAGUCGGCCGUUACAGUUUUCGAGGGGGCCAUCCCCGAAACCACCGCUCUGCUACAGCAGCGGUGGGACAAGAUUCUUUACACAGGUUUGUUGCAUCCUGAAAGCUCGUUCAGAUAGGUUUUUAUAUUAUUCAUUAACUGUGUGACAAAAACUGUGUUACAGGGAGUGCUAAAGUGGGCAGGAUUGUGAUGGCUGCCGCGGCAAAGCACCUCACUCCGGUUGUCCUCGAACUCGGUGGGAAAUGCCCGGCGGUUGUCGAUUCGAAUGUGAAACUAGAGGUUGCAGUGAGGAGGAUCAUAGCAGGGAAAUGGCAAUGCAACAAUGGACAGGCUUGCAUUGGAGUUGAUUACAUCAUUACAACCAAAGAUUUUGCUCCCAAGUUGGUAAGUCAAGUCAUCAUAGUUGCUUCAGAUUUUUUACUUCCUAUCCUGAUUAUGCUUGAAUUUUCGAAACAGAUAGAAGGCCUGAAGAAAGGGAUCAAAGAUUUCUUUGGGGAGGACGCGAUGGAAUCGAAGGACAUUUCGAGAAUCGUGAGCCUUACACAGUUCAAACGCUUGGUCGGGCUUCUGGAAGAGGAGAACGUCUCCGACAAAAUCGUUCUCGGAGGCCGAACUGAUGUCGAUAGAUUGUACGAAGCCGGGUUCCUUGCGUUACAAGUAAUUACAAAUGUUGAGUCACACGUAAUAAGAAUUUUUUGGAAUGCAGGAAGAUAUCUCCAACCAUACUGCUGGAUCCUCCUCAGGAGUCUCAAAUCAUGCAGGAAGAGAUCUUUGGACCGUUGCUCCCCAUUGUCACGGUUUGCAUAACUUAACUUCUAGCUUCGGGUUUUUUUGUGCCGGUUAUCGCUGUUUUGAAAGUUUGUUGAAGUUUGGUGAUCCAAUUGUCCUAUUGUUGGAGUUUGGGGAUUAAUUAAUUUUAACCUUUAAUCGUAACUGAAUCUCCACCCCUACUAUUUCACCUAUUGCAAAACACUUCUUGUUUACUCAUUUACGAUAUCCAAAUCAUUGAAAAUCCCUGUUAUAUUUUAUGAUCAUAAUAGAACUUUCGUACACUGUCGCCCAUAGUUUCUUUCCAUCAUUAGGGUUUUCACGUAAACUCGUUUAUAUCGCUUAUCUCGGUCUCUAUUUCAUUUAUCUCGAUUUCUGACGACUUAUAUCUUGGGAAAAUUAAUAGGUGGAGAACUUGAGAGAGUCAUUUCAAGUGAUAAAUUCAAAACCAAAGCCUCUAGCUGCAUACUUAUUCACAGAUGAUGAGCAGCUCAAGCAGGAAUUUGUGCAGAAUGUGCCUUCAGGAGGAAUGUCCAUCAACGACACAAUCCUACAUGUACCAUCUCUAUCUUUUUCCUAUCGAUAAAAUACUUAAAAUUGUCUCGUAAAUUUAGGAAUGUCCAUCAACGACACAACCAGAUUGUCACUUACAAAAAUUGAGUAGAUCAGGACCGUAACUUUUUGAAUGUGGUAUUGACGGCUGUCUUUUCUGGUCAGUUGAACACGUUGAAAUGUCGCGUAACUCAAAAAUCAAAUCGGGUCGAACUGAAAUCCUCAUUUUCACCAAGUCGGACACUCUCUAAUAGAAUGAUGAUUUCAGUCCGACUCGAUUCGGUCAUUGUCAUGUGACAUGUUCAACUGUGUUUUUGAUGGUUUAUUGUGGAGAAAUCGGUCGGAAAAGGUAGUUAUACCGAUGAGAACAGGACCAGAACGUUACUAAAUGCAAAGUUACAGUCUCGAUCUAGUCAAAUUUCAAAGUUACAUGAUCACUUUGUAACCCCAGUCCAAAGUUACGUACGAGACCAUUUUAGGCCCGUGGCUCGUUUCUUCUUCGAAUGGUUUUGAAACUGACCGAUUUGGUCUGAACCACAGGUUACGGUGCACACGCUGCCGUUCGGAGGAGUAGGGGAGAGUGGGAUGGGUUCGUACCACGGGAAGUACUCGUUCGACGCAUUUAGCCACAAGAAGUCGGUGUUGUACAGGAGCUGGAGUGGAGAUGCAUCACUGAGGUAUCCACCUUAUACUCCUCAGAAGAAAUCGAUGAUGAAGGGACUUAUGAACGGUGGCCUGCCUGGGUUAUUAUCUGCUUGGCUCGGAGGAUCGUCCUCGAACGAAUGAUGUUUAGAAGUUUAGGGGGCUUAUUGUUAGGGAUGGUAAAGAUUUGGGUCAAUUGGUUACUUUCAGAAGUACAUCUUGUACACAUGUAUGUGUGAGUAAAGUUUGGCCAAAUGUGUCUUGAUAAAAUAAAAUAGUAAAAGAUAUAUUAAUUAAAAAUAAAAAUUAUUUUCUUUUUACCUUUUAUAGUACAUCACAAUUCACAACCAGUUUUUUAAGUUUUGAAAGUAUUUGAUAAUGUAGUUAUGAAAGUAUAUUAUAAUAUAUUUGUCCAAAUUGUUAAUGUCAUCUCUCUAAAUAUAUAUUUUCAACCGCAAAUUUAAUAACUUUUAAUGGUUAAGUAUGAAGUAUAUCAAUUUCAACUUAAUUCAAGCGGAGUUCAAUAUUUGAAUUUUGAUAUAGCGUAAAAUUAUAUAUAUAAUUUAAAAUUAUAUUAAUCUCCAAGGAGGUCCAAUGAUCCCACUUGAAGAGUUUGUCUUUGUCCUUGCUUUAUCAUGUUGUCUUUGGGAUUUCUGAGCUUGAUCGAUCGAAAACCAGUAGUACAAUUUCUCAAUGAUUAAUAAAUUUGUAAGUUCGUAACUUAAAAACUAAUUAACAAACAAAACCCGAUUUAUUCUCUCCUUGAUACCCUACUUCAUAAUUUUGUCAUAAAAUCGAUUUUGAAAACGUCAACUUCUCUCAAUAUCCCAUUGAUGAACAACAAUCAAUGAUCCAAUUCCUAUCCCAUUGAUGAACAAGGAGAGAAAAUGGUGCAUAGAGAUUUUUAAUCUUGCUAUCUCGAUUUUUUCCCGUUAAUGAUUAUCGUUCGGGAGUGGUUUAUCAAUGAAGAAACAUACGGAAGAUGAUUAAUACAGAGAUAUAUUUUCAUCUUGUACUCGAUCAUCAUCCUUCUUAAUCUUGUUAUUGUUUUUUUGUUCUUCGUACAUGUAUGUGUACAAAUGCCUGUAGACGACCCAAGCUCAGGUCGAUUCUUCAUAUGGAUCAUAUCGGGUUUUUUGUUCGCGUCCGUGACGAUGGGUGGGACCUUCCUGGUUAUGUAUUUGAUCCUCCCUCCCACCCCAUCUACCCAGUGGCUCCCCAUCGUUGGAGUCUCCCUCAUUUGCCUCCCGUGGGGGUUUUGGUUCUUCACUUGCAUUUAUCGGGUCGUCUCUCGUACUUUCGGAUUUAGAAUGGUUAUCGGAGGAUGUGGAGGAGGAGGAGGCAGCGACAACGGCGAUAACAAUGGGAAGGGCGGCCCUGGACCUCUUUUUGGAGGUGCAAAAUUAGAAAGAGAUUCAGGACAUACAAGCGGAGAAAAUGGUGAUAGUAACAAUAUCAAAAGGACAUCAAAUUCGGCAAAUGACCUCCCGGUUGCUUCUAAAGAGAGUGAGAUGCCAUUGACACAAACCAUGGGAUCUCAAUGAUAGAUUCUUUUGGGGGAAGUUUGAUGUUUUGUGUUCUUAACAUUGAUGAACAUUUAAUGGAAGAUGAUCACUUUAGUUCCUAUAAAAUCCUUUUACCUGUGUAGUUUCUUUUGUUCUUCCUCAGUUGUAUGAUGUAAUUAACUAUAUUUCAUGAUUAAAUAUUCUUAAUUUUAUUUUAUUAGAUUCAUCAAAAAAAAUUAUCUUAUUAUUAGUGUAUUAUAUUGUUUACUAUUCUUUCCCAUAUACAAUGCAAGGAUAUCCUAGUGGAUCUUCCUUCUGUAAUCCUUUAAUAGGGGAAAUUUUUUUCCACAUCAAGUUAUCGUUAAGCAGUACUAAAUCCUUAUCGUUUCAAUGCAAAAACAUAAUAAUAAAUUGGAUCCAAAUCUCGAAAUUGAAAGCUAAACAUUCAACUCCAAAUUACAAGCUUCAUUUAGAUCUUACGAAUCUCAAAAUCGAAAAGUUCCCUUGAAAUUAAUUCAGAACCGUUAGUAUAUGGUUUAUAGAUAAACUUAUCGACGGCUCAUAAUUAAUAUAUCAAUGUCAAUCAUGGAGGGAACUAGAUCAUACGUGUACCAACGGAACAUUUUGAGACGCACAAAUAUAAAGUAUUUGGAUUAAAAUGUUCGAUAGUAUUAAAUUGUGGACUGAUAUAUCACUCAUUUUCUUCGUAUACAUUUCCUAAACAGAAAACGGUAUAAAUACGAAAAUCGGGAACCCCUAAUCUCCAGAAAUUUUGAAUUUGAAUUCAAAAUUCAAACCCUUGGAGCUUCGCAAGCGGGAAAACCAGUGUUCUCCUCCGCUCUCCUCCCACUCGAGACCCCGACCACUCAGUGGAGGCAAGCUCACUGGUGCAGAAAUGGUCGGCGGAAGCAAGAAAUCUCACCGGCAACAUCCGGUGAGUCUGAACGAGAGUCACUAUCGCCUCCUUCAAGACCUCUCCGCUCCUCCUAAGCAAUCAUUUGCAGGUCUCCGCUUUCUUACUCUUCUUCUUUCUUUCGUUCUCUCGCCGUUUCUUUUCAUCAUUUGGUUGGGGAUUUUUUGUACAGAUGAACCGCAAGAGACGAAGAAGAAGAUCGAAGGACGCCGUCGUCUCUGCAAGCCGCAAUCGAAGGAUGACGAUAGUGACGAUGAUCAUGUCAACUUGUUCGCUGGCAUCACCGAUUUCGAUUCUCCUCCAGUUGCUGGUACACACUAUUUAGUUAUCACUCAGAGUUGAGAGUUUGUCUCGAUCGUUAUUUGUCUCUUCCAUUUCUAGGUCUUCGUUUUCACGCGUCGUACGAUUAGGUUUUUUCUGACAGUGGCGACUUUCUGUUUGGCUGGAUUUGGUUGUGUGCAGGCCAAGAGAUGCCACCGAUGAUGAAGGAGAUGGAAAGACCACGUAAUCUCUGGCAAGUAGAAUCGGAGGAAAAUGAGCCUGAGGAUGAUAAUAUUCCCUCGUUCUCUGGCAUUACUGAUUUUGAUUCUCAUGGUGGGUGUUUGUUUCUGUAAUCUGUGUGGAUUCUAGCAGAAUAGGUCAUAAGUUAGUUAACGAAGAUUUUAAGAUUGGUGAAAAGAAGCUCAGUUGCUUUUGACUUGCAUGCUAAAGGCCUCAUGGUUUUGGAUGUUCUUCUUUUGUGUAAUGUCAGAAGAAGAAAAGGAAAAUAAGGUUAGGAUUGAAGGCAGGAGGCGUCUAUGCAAACUCUCUCAUCAGGAGCAGGAAGAUGUGCAAGAUGAACCUACAUUCACUGCAAUUACAGAUUUCGAUUCACCGCUGCCUUCUAAAGCUGAAGGCAGAAGUGAUGAUGAUCCCAAUGGUGACAUCAGGGAUAUUCUGAAUGGCUUGACUUCAAGGCUUGACCUUCUCUCAAUUGAGAAAAAGAAGGAACCAGGAAGAUCUGGAAACUUGACCAAUGCGAGAGCUGAGUCAUGUACUUCUGGUACAUCUCAAACAUCAAAGGUAGCUGGGUUCAAUUGCAUGAGAGCUGUGGAUGAAGGUACUGCGGAAAGCAAUUCGUUCAAGUGGCUUGGAGAUGACAGCUCUGUUAAAAUGGUUGGUGAGACCAAGGCAACUCAUCGGCUCUUAAAUGAAAAUGAUGUCGGAAGGACUGGGAAGUCUUUGGCUUUUGAAGAUCAACUUUCUGAUUUCAAGUUUCAAAGUAAAAAGGCAAGUGAUAGAAGUGUUGAGCCUGUUGGGCAGAGCUAUGCAGCCAAAAGUGAAUUGAAGUCUGGGUAUGACAGAUUGAGAUACGCAGGCCGAUCUAAUAUGGGUAACCUUAGGGAUGAAGAGGACUGUGUAGUUGUCAGUGGUAAGAACUUGGCCAAAGAAUCCAGGCGACCCAAUAAUCAAGUGAAGCCACCCACUCACUCUCAAUCAAUCAACGUGUGCAAUGAGGACGAAGGAGCCAUUACUCUGAGUGACUCACGAUAUGCAUACCGACUACCAGGGAAAAUUUCGACCAUGUUGUUUCCACAUCAGCGCGAGGGAUUGAAGUGGCUGUGGUCAUUGCACUGUCAGGGUAAAGGUGGAAUAUUGGGAGACGACAUGGGGUUGGGGAAAACCAUGCAGGUAUGGACUUUACUAACGAUCUGUAGCAAUUUUAAGAUGCAUGAGUUGUCACUGUUGAUGGAUGCUAAUUUAUUUCGUUUCUGAAGAUCUGUGGCUUUUUAGCUGGGCUUUUCCAUUCCAAACUGAUUAAAAGAGCGUUGGUUGUCGCCCCUAAAACAUUGCUUGACCAUUGGAUCAAAGAACUAUCUCUUGUAGACCUCUCUCGGGAUACUAAAGAGUAAGAUGUUCACAUCCCAACUUUUACUGUUUUACUUGGAAGGAGUAAUUUGUUUAAUGUUGAUGAUGCUGAUGAACCCUUUGCACUUCCGUACAGAUACUUUGGGACUUCUGUAAAGGCUCGCCAAUAUGAAUUGCAACAUAUUCUUCAGGUUUAUUGUGUGCUUCUGGUUUGUUUCAAUAUAAGCUUUAGCUUAAGACAAACCAUGUUUUACAGUAGCGAAGCGUAAGAAUUUUGACUUCAUUUUUUAAUAGACUCUAGAUAAGUUAAUUGUGUGGAAAUGUCAUCAGAACGUAUUCCGUUUUUCGGCUUUUAGUCAUUUAGCUUAUUUUAUUUGUAAUCUGUACGAGAUUUGUAGUAACAUCAUCAGUGCUGGUAGUUACUUUUGUUCAAUUAAUUCUGUUUCUGAUUUCCAACAAGUGUUAUAACUUUUUACAUAAAACUGUAUUUAGUGGCUCAUUGUUCACGUGUCUUCUUUGUCCUCAUGAGAUUCAUUCUUUUCUCUUCACAGUACGGCGGUAUUCUUCUUACUACUUACGACAUAGUACGCAACAACUCAAAAGCAUUGCGGGGGGAUGGUUUAUGGACUGACCAUGAUAGCGAAGAUGGUUUCCUGUGGGAUUACAUGAUUCUUGAUGAGGUAGAUAACUAUAGCAAUAUUCAGAUGUUGCUUAUUAUUAUUUUUUUAGAUUUCGCGGGCUUUGUAUCUGAAGCAAUGAUAACUUGUCACAUCCUUGAAAUAUGUAUUUGCAGGGCCAUCUGAUAAAGAAUCCCAGUACUCAGAGGGCUAAAAGCUUGCUUGAGAUAGAGAGUGCUCAUUGCAUUGUCGUUAGUGGAACACCUAUUCAAAACAAUCUCAAGGUAUUGUGUUUAUAACUGUGUUCGUACUCUGAUUUAAAUAAGCUCAGGUGUGUGAUGUUUCUGUUUGCUUGAUAAAGGAACUCUGGGCUCUAUUCAACUUUUGCUGCCCAGAUCUACUUGGUGACAAAAAAUGGUAAUUAUACCUUCCUAAUUUUGUUGGUUUUACUUGAACUUCGUAUUUUGUUGUUUUACAUGAUUUAUGAUGGCCCUGAUUCAAGAUUUCCAUUAUUCAGGUUCAAAGAAAAAUAUGAACAUCCCAUACUUCGUGGAAAUGACAAGAAUGCUUCUGAUCGGGAUAAGCAUAUCGGUUCGAGAGUUGCUAAGGUCAUGAAUUGAUAUAUUUUUAAACCAGGGAAUGUAUUUAGUUACCCAGAGAUCUACUUCAGUUGUGGAUCAAUUUUUGUAGAGUAUUGAAAUUGAAUCCAGUUGAAGUGCCAGUUCUGUGCUUAAUUUCUUUUAGCUCUCAACUGUUCUUGUUUGGUUUUCUCAAACUUAAUUUUGUUUCUAUUCCUUCAAAGUUUAGACGUGCCUCGAUUAGAGGUUGUUGCAACUUGCAAGUAUCUAACUGUUCAGCUUAAUCGUUUGUAUCUUACCAUACAGGAACUCAGAGAACGGAUCCAACCUUAUUUCUUGCGUCGCUUAAAGAGUGAAGUCUUCAAGGAGGAUGAUAAUGAAACGGCUAAACUCUCGAAAAAGAAUGAACUCAUUGUCUGGCUAAAAUUGACUGAUUGUCAGGUGGGUUGGUACCAUUGUUAAGUUACGUAAUCCGUCCAACUUAACUUCUCGUAACAUAAUAACAUCUUUCGUAUGGUGCAGAGACAACUUUACGAAGCAUUUUUGCAGAGUGAGCUUGUACUUUCAGCUUUUGAUGGGUCGCCCCUGGCUGCAUUAACGGUGCAUAUAAUUUGGCCCUAGAUCUGAUUCGGGGACCUCCUGUUCUCUUUUAAGGAUUAAAUUUUGCAUUAAUCUAAUGGCUAUCAUUUUGCUUGGAACAGAUUCUGAAAAAGAUAUGUGAUCAUCCCCUUCUCUUAACAAAGCGAGCUGCUGAGGAUGUACUUGAAGGAAUGGAGACUGGUCUAAAUCCAGAGGAUGCUGGCCUGGCUGAAAGAUUGGCGAUGCAUGUAGCAGAUAUUGCUGAGAGAAAUGAGUUCCAAGAGACACAUGACAACAUUUCUUGCAAAAUAUAUUUCAUCAUGUCACUGCUGGUUAGUUUAACCUUACAGAUAUAUUACUUAUCGAAGUUCGAUUUGAAAUUGUUUUAACGAAUCUAUUUCUUUUCCAUAGGAUGACCUCAUUGCUAAGGGUCACCGUGUGCUCAUAUUUUCUCAAACACGGAAGAUGCUCGAUCUUAUUCAGGUUUCUUUCAAACACUUCCAUGCUGCUAUAUUAAUUGCCUGAUUUUGCUUAUGAUAUAUUUCCUGCGGUUGAGCAAAGUUAAUAUUCCUGUAUGAAGUCCGCAAGAGACCAUUGCAUAUUUUGUCUUAGGAGUUCGGAUUAUCUCUCUUUUCCCUUUUAUUUCUCCUUGUUUUUCUUGUGAAGAAGCAUCCAUCUUUUCAGUGAUCUUGAUAAUAUGAUCAUAUCGUUUGGUAUUUUAUAAGCUUCGAAUGGUUGAUAUUGUUCAUAAUUCUCAACUGGGCUUUUUUGUUUUUUGUAAUCUUACAUCAUCUGUUCACACUAAGUAUUUCUUGUUUCAGGCUGCUAUAGCCUCCAGUGGUUACAAGUAUUUAAGAAUCGAUGGCACUACAAAGUCCAGUGAUAGAGUGAAGACUGUGAAUGUAUAUUUCUUUUGGUAUUUUGAAUAACUGUCCGUGUCUUUAUGGAUUUAUUCUUAUUCAUAAACUUUACAUCUGUAUAUAGGACUUUCAAGCUGGCAACCACGCUCCUAUAUUCCUCCUGACAUCUCAGGUUGGAGGUCUUGGUCUCACCCUGACUAAAGCAGAUCGUGUAAUUGUAGCUGAUCCUGCUUGGAAUCCAAGGUUCUUACUAAGUUAUUUAAAUUGUAAUCUUUUUUAGUAUUUCAAGUAAGAACACGCUAACACCAACUAUUUAAUGUUUUUGUAGCACGGACAAUCAAAGCGUUGAUCGGGCGUAUCGUAUUGGUCAGCAAAAAGAUGUCAUUGUGUAUCGAUUAAUGACUUGUGGGACAGUCGAGGAGAAAAUCUACAGGAAGCAGGUACAAUUUUGGCUUUCGUUUAUCCAUAAUGCCAACCCUUUGUCUCAAACCGUUGAUAGGCCAAGUAUGCAAAGUUGAAACAGGAUCAUACCAGCAAAAGUUUAUAUAAAUGCAUAAUUCAAAGUUUUGAACGAUGAAUUUAUAUAUAGGCUUUUCCAAUGUUUACAUUUUUCUCUUGCGCUUGUGUUUGGAAUUUAUGGCACAUGAUGCAAGUUCAUAUGAAAAAAUGAUGCCUUUAAUUUGCAUUUUUUGUAGAUUUAUAAGGGCGGGUUGUUUAAAACUGCAACCGAGCAAAAAGAACAGGUCCGGUACUUCAGUCAACAGGUAUGUCUUCUCUUCUGAAAUUCUUUGAAUGCUUAAAGGAUGGUUUCAUGUGUUAUUUUUUGUGUGUGCUAAGAUUCACGUUAUUAUUUUUGUAGGAUCUGAGGGAAUUAUUCAGUCUUCCGAAGCAUGGAUUUGAUGUUUCCCUCACACAGCAGCAAUUGCAUGAAGAACAUGACAAACAGCACAAAAUGUACUCUAAUCAUCUUCAUAAAAAUUUGCUCCCUUUUGUUCGUUCACUCUAUUCUCAUGGUUUUAUAACCUUUCAGUUUCGAGUUCUGCUUAUAAUGCUUCAUUGCUGUUUGGUCCCUUAGGGAGGAAAAGUUGGAAGCUCACAUAAAGUUCUUGGAGACAAAGGGCAUAGCAGGAGUUAGCCACCAUAGCUUACUUUUCUCCAAGACUGCACCACCUGUACCAGUAGUUGAAGAAGACGAUCCAGAAGCAAGGUAACCGUUUGUUAAUUCUGCUUCCAACGAUUAGAACCCAGCCAGGAACGGAAUGGUUAAUAACGGUCCACAUCCUUUCGGUGUUAAUCAGGAGUUAUUCAUUUCUGUAUACUUUAUUUAUUUGUUCAUGUAGGAUGAGAGCAGCUGCUAUGAUGUAUAGGGGUAAUUCAUCAAGAACACAAGAACGAGAUGUUGAUGGAGGGUAUGGCAAAGUUUUUAUCAUAAUCAAACCUCAGUUUACUUUUUAGAAACAUUCAAACUGUAACAACAAAGUGUCCGAAAAUGUUGAUCACAGGGCUGCAUAUGCUUUCAACCCAAAGGACGUAAACCGAAACACGAAGAGCUCUUCGCCUACUAGUCCAGGGAAGCUGACCGAGUCCGAUAUCAAAUCUCGAAUCAACCGGCUGUCGCAUUUGCUUGGAAACAGGGUAAGUACUCUGAUAACUAGUAGAUAAGUGUGAGCUAUGUGCUUUGUUAGGCAGGUGGAAUGUUGGAUGAGAUUUAUAUGGCAUUUAUCACUUCGUUGGACAGGAAAAUACUCAAAAUUCUAUCCAACCUUCCACCUGCAAACCAAAUGAUAAUCGUUUCGAUAGUAACUCGAAACUAAUUUUGGUGUCUAAUGUUUUUUUGGCAGAAUAUAGUAUCAGGAUUACCUGAUAGAGGAGAGAAACUGAGGAAGCAAAUUGGGGAUCUGAACAUGGAACUUGAGAAGAUUCGUGUGGAGAAAGAAGUCAUUGACUUGGAUGACUUGAGUGAGGAGCUUCACAAGUCUUUCAAUAUUUGAAUGAUUAGUCGCUUUUGUGGGGUUUCAUAUUGGUCCGAUUAAUAGCGGAACCAAAAUGGUUGUCGAUUUUAGGUUCGAAUCCUUGUUCUGUCACUAGUCCCACUAAUUCGAACAUCUUGCACUGACUUAGUGCAAUUGAGUUGGUUUCGAAUCACCUGAAAUAGCAAACUAAUUACUCUCUAUGAGAUAUGUAAGAAUCGUUUGUUAUAAAAUAUUCGCAAAUAGUUUGUGGUAUUGUUGUAACUUGUGACCACAAGUCUCCAUCUUGCAUGCAACCAACAAAUUAAAAGGAAAAAGCAAAAGGAAAAGGACCAACUUUUUAGGGUUUCAAUUUUGAAUAUCACCCACUUGAAUAAAUCGAGAAAGGAUAUAUUGAAUUUCUUUAUAAUGAAAAUUAAUUAAUUUUGAAAUUGAAAAAAGCUAGUCCAAAUACAAAUACUUACGGCUAAUUAUUAUUGUAAACAUCUUAAUUGAAAGUUAGGGGAACUCCAAUUUCUAUUGGAGGGUGAGAUAUUUUUUUGAGUUAUUAACUUGCGUAAAGUGUUGGAUCGAUAUUGAAUGGUUUAAAUUGAACAUAUAUUCAUGAAAAAUAAUUACAUAAAAAAUAAUUACAUAAUUGAUCUUUUAACUAGCAUUGAGCAUAAUUUAUCCAUUGAUGUUCAUUCAGUUUCUAUUUCAUAACAACUAUUAUCUUGUAACAUUUUGAAUGUCACUUGGUUUAUCGGAACCUCAAUUGAUUUCGAACGAAAAUAAAUUGUUCUCCUAUUUAACAAACUGUACAGCAUUUCAGUCUUGGAUACUCAAAUCACUAAAAAAAAAUCAAAUAAAAUAAAAGAUUUUUUUCUGCUGCAAAAUUCCGUACAUCAUUCAUCCCUACCACCAUAAUCAUCAUCGCGCAACACCAGAGCAGAAAAAUUAAUCAUUAACGAAUCAGCCGCCACCUUGACUGAUUCCCGCCGCCGGCUUCUCAUCGCCGACAAUCAUUUCUACAUUUCAUUUCUUCCGUCCCUCUUUCUUCUUACUCGAGAGACCUUUCAUUUCUCUCGAUUUGUUUUCCUCUGAAAUUCCAUCUUGGUAUAUCCAUCUUCGAUUUGCUUUCUACUUGAGUUUCGAUCCAUUCCAGACGCAGGCUUCGAUUCACCGUUCUAUUCCGAUCAACGUCCAGCUGAGAAUCUCGUGCUAUUCAAAUUUUCUCGUCUUCAGAUUUGAUCAGGUAACGCUCCAUAAGCUGUUCAUUUCAACUGAAUUCAGCGGAUUGAAGAAUCUGUUGCCCGAUCCAUUCCAGAUGCAGCUUUGAUUCACUGUUCAAUUCCGAUUGACUUGCAGCUGAGAAUCUCGGUUUUCAAAAUUUGCCAGUCUCUCGUGCAAUUCAAUUUCUCGAUUGAUUCAGGUAACGCUCCAUGUCAACUGAAUUUAGUGGAUUGAACUUGUUUCUGGCUUUGCCAGAUGACGUGUUUGCUAUCAUAUCUCGCUCCCUAUCGCCGUUGGACGUUUGCAAUCUCAGCCUUUCAUGCCGGAGCUUACGAGAUUUUUCAUCAUCUGAGAAAGUCUGGCUCGCUCAAUGUGGAAUCGUUGGGGUUCUUCCCCAAACUGAACUCAUCAAGUGGAGGAAAGGCGUUUCGUCGUACAAGUCCCUCUGCCGAUUCCUUAUUACUGUGGUUAAGCCACUGGUUGGAAUUUGGGUUCAUCAGAACCCUGAGCUCGGCAAUGUAGUGUACGUAAUGCCUGGUUUCGUAUCGGUCGUUGGAUGUCGAGUUAUACCGCAAGAGCUCGGUCCUUUAGGGAUCGAAGACGGCCCUAUUCUCUGGUCGCCGGUGUUUGAAGUAAUAAGUGAUCUUGAUGGUUCUUCUUUGUUCUUUCUUCAUGGAAGGGAAAAAGGAACUGACUAUGUGUAUCCUGGUUCGUUGAAACCGGCUGAUCGGAACUGCAAUGUGCUUUUGCUCGAGGUUGAACCUCGCGAGCAGAAGAAGAGACUGCUGCUGCAUAGUCAGAGCUUUGCUUGCAUUUCAGAACAUCCGUCGAGCAAAGUUUCGAGGUCGAGCAGUGGAUUGUCGAAGUCGCAUCGGGUAGUGGACGUCAAGCCGAGUUUUAGCCGGUUGGGGUUUAAUGAUAGGAGGAAGCUCAUCGAGGCUGUGACUCGAAAUGUUCAUCGAGUUUUACCAGAUUCAACGAGCGGACCGCUUUUUCUUCCUCUUACGAGGAGAAGUGCUGAUGAAGAUAGCUCGAGUUUGUGUCGACGUAGAUCGUUGCUUCUGGACAUACACAAGCUCGGUGGCGAUGGCAUUGAUUGGGAAUCGGUUCCGGAACUGCUUUCUGAUCGCAUUGUCAAUGGAUCAAAAAACAUAGCCCGGUCGGGUGUAAAUGGAGAUGGUUAUACACAAUCCGUCGCGAAGAAAACACUCGGAGGAUAUUUACGAGCUAGUGUACGACAGAUUUUGGGGAAAUCGUCGCCUUCUCAUGUACGCUCGAAGAGUUCGAACGGUGAGAAUAAGCACGCGAGCAUUCACGAUUUCUUACUAUCGGGCGAUGCGAUAGGAUUGGCAUUACUUCCCGUAAAGUUGAGGUUGUCUUCGUACCGAGCGUGGCCAAAUAUGCAUGAUAGCCGGUUCGCUCUGUACAAGUUACCUUUGUGGCAUCCCCGACCCGACCAAAAGUACGCCGGUUUAUGGGGUGGGACUUUUGGUUGGCCACCCGGAAAGCCGUCCGAGGAUAAACCCGGGAAAGCUCUCUUCUUUCUGUUGUUAUCUUACGACGAAUCCGAUGGGGUCCACCGGAAUCUCGUGGCUACGAAGAUACUCGAAGGCACUCACUAUGUACUCCAUCCAAAUGGCUCGGCGAUGUUUGUAGUGAAUCUAGACGAGCCUUCCGAGGAUCCAUUUCCUUGGGAUCCGGUAAGUGUGGAGUAUUCGUUUUCAGGGGAAGGUAUCGCGCACGGAUAUGGGUUCAGGUAUCCCGGGUCGAAACCCGGAUCACUGUUUGUGAUUCAAAACGGCGUGCUUGCUUUUGUGUGGAAAGAGUCUAGAGCUGUGUUGACGAUGCAGCGGCUGAACUUGGAGGAGCUCGUGAGGAAAGGCGAACAAGUGCCCGCACUUACUCCCAUUGCAAACUUUGCGUACUUGACAAAGUCGUACUCGAAUGUGUUUGUCGGGUUCUCGAGUGGUUCUGCUUGCGCCUCGUCACUGAGGUUCGACUUCUUUUUCCCAAACAUCAUUUGUGUCUAAUUAGUAAGCAUCUCCUGAGGUUUGUUUGAAAACACUUCUGCAGGCCAAGGCAGUGAGAUCUGAUUUUAUCUACGGAGGCGAUGAUGAACGGACCGGAUUGCUCGUAGCCUGAUUACACGUUAUAUGUAUUCCUGUUCGUAAUACUAGCAUUGCUUCGAAGGAUCGGUCGCAUGUGCGAAUAAGCUGUAGAUACUAUGUUAAGGUUUAUGCUCCGGCAGGUUAUAUACUUAUGUUAAUGAGUUGCAGAACAACAUGGUUGAUUGAAUGUACAAUGCUGUGAUUCUAUCUAGUCGAUGGUUGUGAUAGUGUUUCUUUUUCUUGCUUCAAGCACAAGGUAAAGCAAAGGCGUUGGUAGUACUACGCACGAAUGUACUACCAAUGCCUGCUCACACACAGACGAAAGUCCUCAAAGUCGCGGACUUUUUCACGUAUAGGUUAUAGGGAGGCUGCAACGGAGAUGGACGAUUUUGUCGGGACCUAACUUUCCCGUUCGGCCUGAAAAAUCUCGAAACUCCACGAAUUUUCUACCUACCAAACAGUUUGGCACAAAGUACGAUGAGUUUAGACGUAACUGAAAAGUUCACUCCCAAAAAUCUUGUCGGGAUCUAACUUUCCCAUCCAAAUAAAAAAAUACUCAAAAUUCCACCUAAUCUCUCCCAUCUCUCCACAAAGAUCCUUUUUUUUUUCUAGUGAAGGCAUUGCAAUUCUGCAAUAGCUAAUUCCAAGCACUAAGUACACAGGGAAACAAACUUGCAACCAUUCUGGAAAUGCUACAAGACUCGAAUCUUAAUCUAGCCCGGAUCGAGUAUUUACAGAUGGACAGGUGUACCUGACUUGCUCCACAAGUCAUCAUCAUGAACAAAUGAGAUUAACCAUUUCUAGAUAAGACUAACAACUUGCUUACUAACAUCACAAUGUAAGCACCCCAUGUUCAUAAUUUAUCAAACUACAAAAAAAGCAACAGGCUUAUCACUUAUGUGCAAAACAAACAUCUAGCCGCCUGAUUGCCUGGUUUUUUAUGGGUUUCCAAGACUACAACAACACAGCAGCAGCACAAAAGAAGCCAAUUCUACAACAACAAAAGGAUGGUCCCCUCCUUUACCUAGGUCGCUUUGACCUUGUUUGUAUCGUCUCCGACGACAGACAGUAUCGGCAAACUGCUGAGGAACUCAUCAAGACCUUCAAAAAAGCUGAUCCCUUCAAUGUUAUCUUCCACACCAUGAUGCCCACUUCCAUUCCUUUCACCAGCUGGUAAUGAAGCCUCAUCACCUUCAUUACUGAACAUAACAUUCAAAUCCAACUUCCCCAUCUCCUUUGCUCCUCCUUUACUCUUUUUCCCACUACUACUCCCUCCUUCUCCCUUACCAUCUACUACUACAUUAUUCCUUGCUUUCUCCCCUGACGAUGCCGAUUUCUUCACAUUCUUACUAGGGGGUCUCCCUCUUGGCCUUUUGUUGUUGCUGUUGGUGGGAAGUUUGGGGAGUUUCUUCUGAGUCCUAUCCCAGUCAUCAUCAUCAGAAUCAGACUUAUCAUCAUCACUACUUAGGUCAGAAAUCUCUAUGAAAACAUCGUAUUUGUAAAUCGUUUUACCCUUACCAGCAGCCGCAGCAGCAGCAGUAGCAGGAGAAGACAUUUGCCCGCCGGGUUGCAAUGGCGUAGAGAACAUUGCUGAAAAGGGUGACCAAUUACUACCCCCUAACCCAAACUUCAUCCCCCCACCUGAAUACCCUAGCGGGAAGAACCCCCAACAGCAAAAGUAUGUAUCUUUACCAGACACAGGCGGCGAUGGCACUUUCACCGCAUGAAACCCUCUCUUACAAGUCUGACAUUUCAAUGCACAUUCUUCAUAUACCUUUGGAUAUUCGUACAUCACGUAGCAAUACGGACAUGCAGUCCAGAAACUCGGCCCUUGAGCCUGAGAUUGAGCCUGAGGUUGAUUCUCCACCGCUGCUGCUACUGGGUGCUGCUUCUGCUUCACCGGCGGCGAUGGUUCCGGUGGCUUCUGGUGCAGCGGCGGUGGGGUUACAAUUGGUGCCGACUUAGUUGCUGGUCUGCUAGAUUCUGCAACUACUUUUGGAGCUGCUGAUCUGCUAGAUUCUGCAGCUACUUUGGGAGCUGCUGGUCUGCUAGAUUCUGCAGUUACUUUGGGAGCUGCUGGUCUGCUAGAUUCUGCAGCUACUUCGGGAGCUGCUGGCUUAUCCAGAGGCUGAGACUGAGAGAUCCAUACCGGAGGAGUAGCUCUAGGGGGCUCAGUAGGAGGCUGAGGUGACGGCGGAGGAGGAGGCUGAUGUUGCUGAGGUGGCGGAGGAGGCGGAGGCUGCUUUUGUUGAGCUAACGGUUUAGUUGGCUGAGGAAGGAAAUGCUGAGUUGCAGCAGUGUCAGUGAACUGAUACUCAACCUGAGUCGAUUGACGAGUCGACUGAGUCGAUACAGGAACCCACUGAUUCGUGACCGGUUCAACCGAACCAUCCCUACUCAUCAUUCUAGAGCUGCUAGAGACCGACGAUUGAGGCAACUGCGAUUGGUCAACGAAGCCCUGAUUCGCGAAUUGGGCGGCGGAGAGACCUAAUUGAACCGGUUGAAGCAACGAAUCGUACAUUGCCUUCUUGGAAGGGUUGGAGAAGAGCAUCCAGGCGUCGGAAACCAGCCGGAAGGAGUGGUCGGCGAAGGCGAGGCGGUUCCUGCUAGGGUUUAAGAGGAGAGCCAGCUUUCUGUACUGAGUCGCGAUUAGCUCCAUCGAUUGAGUGAGCCGCGGGAGCUGGAGAAGGGCGUAGUAGUCGUGAGUGUCGGUGGCGGCUCCGUAGUGGUCUUUCACCCUGAUUUCGGCGGCGAGGAGAGUAUCAGCGAUGGCUAUGAUUUGGUCCGCGAAGUGGAGGAGCCUCGGGUCGGAUUCCCGGGCGCGGAUCGCGAAGGUCUUGGCUCCUUGGAGAUCGCGCGCGUUGAGUAGCUUCUCGGAGAUCGUCAGCCACCGCUCCGCCUCCACUCUGUAUCCCCCGCCGCCAUCCAUUUCUUCUUCAGUGUUUACUUACGGGGUUUUCCGAUUUGGCUCCGACGACGACGAAGCUUUUAGGGCUCGAGAGAGAACAGACUGCUGAGAGUGUGAGCAGAUGGAUGAGAGACAAGGAGGAAGGUGGGGAAAUUGUACUUGAAUGGACGAUAAAGGACAGAUGUUUCCAUAAAAUUACAACCUAGGACAACAGUACAAGUGCCGAGAGGAGAGUGACGUGGACGAUAUUUUGGUCAUUUCGCGAAAAUAGUGGAUGUUACACGUGGGGAGAAUCUGGAGGGUGAGGUUAAAAUGAAUUUUGGAAAGUAAAAAUCAAUUUUAAUUUAACCAUCUCUCUUCCUUUACACACUUUCUUAAUUUUUUUUCACUCACGAGAUCAUUAUCGUUGACGUUUCUUUUAUAAUUGUUUCGUUUGUAACUUUUUAAUGGUUUGACAUAUAUUAUGUACCAACAGUAUGAACAUUACAUAGAUGAUGGUUGUGUACAUGGUGUUAGCAAUAGCAUGAUUUGUAUGUACAUUAUACACUUUGUAUGACGCAGCUUUGUAUGAUGAUUUUGCAUACAAAUAUUGUAUGAUAAAAAUAGCGAUUUUCAUCAUGGUAAUUCCAGAAAAGAGAUAAAAAGAGUAUAUAUAAACUAUUUUUAUGUAUUGAUUAUCGUUCAUGGUUCGUUUACGUAUGUAAUUAACUGUUGAUAGUCUAAACAUUCAAACAAAAGUACCGGCGACAUUUACUAAGACGAGGUGUCAUACUGUCGUAAUAGUGUACUAAACAAACUCUCUCGUCCCUCAAUUUAGUGGUGAUCAAAACUUGAUGAUCAAGAAGGAGUAAAAGUCGGUAACAAAAUAACUAAUCUAAAGGGAGAGAGAGUCAUUUCAGAGAUUUAGGUGGGGUUUGAUAGGAAGGUGGAAUAUCAUCGGUUCAUUCCCUAAUUUUUUCGUUCAACCGAGUCAUGAGUGAUUGUUUGUGGGAAAUCCACGAUGAAAUUAAAAAUACGAUAACCUGUAUGUAAUGUGGACAAACUUUGAGGACUCUUAAUGUCAUUUAGCGACUGGAUAGUUACAGGCGAAACCUUCUUCUUCUUCACCCUUUUCGUCUUCGACGCUUCCUAAAUCGCUGCCAAGUUUGUACCUUUCUCGACCCUGUCGUCAACUUUCUCGCCGUUUCGGGAAAGUUAGGGUUCAUAACAGAUGGGUAACAUAUUCGUGAAGAAACCAAAGAUCACCGAUGUCGACAGAGCAAUCCUCUCCCUCAAGACCCAAAGGCGUAAGCUUGGCCAAUACCAGCAGCAGGUCUGAUUUUUCUUGUACUUUUCCCCAAUUCAUACGAUUCAGAAACUUCUGGUUUUUUUUCUUAAGUGAUCAGGAUUUAAUUUUGUUCCAGCUCGAGACUGUUAUUGAAGCAGAGAAGCAAGCUGCAAAAGACUUGAUCCGUGAGAAGAGAAAAGAUAGGGCCUUGCUAGCAUUGAAGAAGAAGAAGACUCAGGAGGAAUUGUUGAAGAAUGUGGAUACUUGGAUCAUCAAUGUCGAGCAGCAAGUAAGUGAUAAGAUUAGUUGUUUGAAAAUUUAAAAACUCCUGGAAUUGAAUUGAAUUGAAAUGUAUUGAUUAGUUCAUAGGUUGGAUCGUCGAAUUUGCAGCAUCUAGACUGAAAUUAUAUUGAUGAUUUGACCUUUGAUCAUGUGGUUUGAGUUGAUUUCGUGAUUGAUGAUUUGAGUUUUGGUGCCGGUUUGGGUGAUCAGUUGGCAGAUAUCGAACUAACGAGCAAGCAAAAAGCUGUGUUUGAGAGUUUGAAAGCUGGUAAUGAAGCGAUCAAGGCCAUACAGGGUGAAGUCAACCUGGAUGAUGUUCAAAAGUUGAUGGAUGAUACAGCUGAAGCUAAGGCUUAUCAAGAUGUGAGUUCGUGUUUCCGGAACUUAUUUCCUUAUUCUUCUUUGGCUAGCCUUUGGCUUCUGAUGUAUGGUGUUAUGAUGUCUUGCUCUUAUGAGAAUCUCCAUUAAAGCUUCUAUGCGAGAUAAGUUACCUGAUGUUUCGCUCAUUUGUGAAUGGUUUGAAGGAAAUCAAUGAAAUACUGGGAGAGAAAUUAUCUGCAGAGGAUGAAGAGGAGAUUCUGGCUGAAUUUGAGAACUUGGAAAUCCAGGUAUUCUUCAGAUUAACAAUUCUGCUAGUAAAGAUUGCACCUUUUUGCCAUUCACUUUAACUAGGGGAACAUAGAUUGCAAUGAUCGGUGUUUUUGCAUUCGGAAAUGUGAUUGCAAUGAUCGAAUCUACUGUGCUUGAUGAACUCAUUGACUAACGCCACUUCUGAACCUGUUGAGAUGUCAUAAGUCUUAAGCAUCAGUUUGUGACUUCUUUUGGCUCAUUCUAUAUAACAUGUUAUCGUCGUGAUGGUUCCAGAUGACAGUUGACGGUAUGCCAGAAGCACCUACCGCAGUGCCAUCGAACGAAGAGGAUGGAGAAUUGGAUCUUCCUGAUGUACCAACUAAAAGACCAGUUGCUUCAGAAGAGGUUCCCAGAAAGGAAAAAGGUUUGAUCUUUUCUCUUAUUGUGAAUAGUUCUUCCCUUUGAUUUUACUCACAGAAGCUCUUAUAAUAACUUUGAUGUCUUCUGAAAAAAUUAUUGCAGUUCUGGAGGAGCCAUUGCCUGCAUAAUGCACACAUGUACCAUGGUGAUUCUUUCGUGGUAGCAGUCAGUUUUGUGGUUUUCGACAUGGUUUUCUCUGCUGCAAGUUGUUCAGUUUGUGUGUUCAUAUGUAGAAGUUACUGGUUUGUUUGUCAACAUACUACAUCAAGUAAUUGAUGUCGAAACCUUGUGCAUUUCGUCAUUCUACGUUGACACAUUAGCUAAGUGAACAUGGAUUCCUGUAUAAUCCGAAUUAAUUUUUAAGGCAUUGUUGCUAGCUCCUAACAGAAGGAAUUACAAUCGCAAACAAACAUAGAUCACUGUACUAAAAUUUCGAUCAAGUUACUGAUUUGUCCGGAUAACCACUAACAACCACAUGGCCAAAUGUAGUUACUCGAAAAUCGAAUGAUAUGUUGACUGAAAUUGCGAACGUCACGUCGAAAUUUCAAGGUUUACAUAACCUAAGAAACACAACUAAGAGUCUAAGACAAGUUAGAACUUGAUACUAAGUCUAACAAAUUUGGUUUCUAAAGAGUCUCCAGGUCAUAUUAGAGUUGGCAUCACUGAACCAUGCACUUUUGAGACAUCCGCUUAAAUAUCAAGAUUUCACAUGUUGUUCAAGGAGAAACAUUGAAUUUACAUAAACUCCUUAGCAAAUCCUUACAGUAGUUCCCUUUGCGGUUUGAUAGCUUCAUUGGCUUUGUUAAUGAAACCAAAAGUACGAGGUUCGAUACUGGUACAAAGCAGCAACAACAAGAACAAACAAAUCCUCGCGGGUUAAAUGUGUUUGACUAUUCGAGAUAUAAGCCAGUUAAAACAAAUAUAUGUUUUUAGGUGGGUUGAAUUUUGCGACAAAAUCAUUAACCACAUGUUUCGUUGAUUUUCAGAAAAUAACUAUCAUAAAUGCACCAUCACGCACCACAAGUUUUUUUUUAUAAAUAAAUCACGAACAACAAUUAUUCAGUAAUUAACUACAAAUCGUGAUUUUUCAUCAGGCUAUCGAUUCGUAACUCAACCGUAUCAAUUUCCACCCCAAAUCGUAAUUAAGCAAAAAUAGAUAGAUGGUAAUCAAAAUUAGUCAUCAUUUUAAUCUCCAACAAACCAACUGAGAAAGCUAAAUUUAAUCAUACCUAAACCAAACAACAAUUCCUAUAAAUACCAACCCCAAUACACCAUUUUCCCUCAAGUUGUGUCUGUCUGCUUCUAAUAAAAGGAAGAAAAAAAAUACAAAUAAAGAGAGCAGCCAGGCACAUCUUCCCAAAAAAAAACUAAAAAAAAACGAUAGUAAGAAGAAUGGAGAAGAAGAGGGUUGUAUGUACCACCAUCGUCUUCGUUGGUGCCUUAAUGAGCGCAGUUUUGGCUGAUGAGCUGGCUGCUCCUGCUCCUUCUUAUGUAGGAGGGGCAGCUGGUGGCCCUACGACCGGUGGACCCGUCACGACAGGUUCACCUAUCGGAGAACCUAUUAGCGGCGCUGAUGUCGGCUCCUUGCCCUUCAUGGCUUUCUCCGUUGUCUCCACACUUGUCGCCUACAUGCUCAAUUAAAUUAUUAUUUGAUUAUGUAAUAAUUUGAUUUUAUCAGGAGUGGAUUGAAUUUCUUUGUACUUAUUGUUUAACUCCAUUUCUAAAUGAAUGAAUUUUUAUUUUAAUAUUUUUACUUUUAUUUGUGUCUAAUUCGAUUCUUGCUUCACAUACAUGCUUGAAUAUUUCUUUUAAAUGAAUGAUCAAGAACGAAUCUAAAAAGUGAUUGCCCUAGGUCA